Molecule: long non-coding RNA, 69562 nt
Filed under: Citrus sinensis (sweet orange)
Lineage: Eukaryota; Viridiplantae; Streptophyta; Magnoliopsida; Sapindales; Rutaceae
Description: long non-coding RNA (CSIN_LNC004022)
Source: RNAcentral
UCUUAUCCGCUUAAAGUAUUAAAGUCUAACCCAACAACUAAUGUUUAAUUUGUCCAAAAGUUGUAACGGAUAGGAAACUAGUUGAAUAGAUUUGCCCAUUUGACAAUCUUCUCUACCUCUCAACUAACAUUUUCUUGCUUCUUCAUUGCCUUUUGCAGUAUCUUUUCUUGCUCUUUAGUAAAAAAAAAAAAAAAAAAAGUACUCAAAUCCAACAAGAACUCAUCUUUCUUUAUACCCUAAUCAAGAUCAUCGCUAAGAAAUGGACUUUUCCUACUAUUUUUCUUUGAAGCACUUUUGGGAGAACACCAAAAACAACUUUUUCUCUGCGGUGGAGACAACGAAGAAGAAGGUGAAUCCAUCCAUGAACUUGGAGAACUGAACGGCGAAGAAAAUGUCUUGGAUUUCAACUUCAAUUUUGAUUUCGAGGAAACAGUGACGACAUGAACAGAAGCAAAAGCAGACCUUAUAGAAUUUUCUUUAGAAUCAAUUUUUCGAUCUGGGUUCUAUUUGGACUCCAAGAAAAUGGCCAAGGGAGGAGAAGAAUCACAACUAGAAACUGAUUUUGCAGUCUCCAAGCCGGGUUUCCCAUCUGGGUUUUGUUUGGAAUCGAAUAAAAUCUCUAUCUUUGAAGUUGGAUUUGAAUGAUGAUAAUGAUGUGAUGAGAUGUGUCUGUUUUUCAAUGUGAUGAUGAUGAUUAUCAUUGAUGUGGGUUUUGGGUUUAGUAGGAAGGACUAAGUCGUCAGUGAAACCAGAACAAUUGAUAACAGAGACAACCAACUGAAGAAGGUGUCCCUGCAUCGACUUUUUUUAGUGAUCGAUCUCCAAGCGCUUAAAUUAGCUCCAUUUUAUUUUUGUUAUGUUUACCUAGCAUAUACUUAUUGGCCAACUCGUCAUAUCACUAACAAUAUCUUAUGUUAAACGUAAUUUAGAUAGAUCCUUUAUUAUAAUUCUUUUUGUUAUAGGGUAAUCUCGGCCAUACGUUGCCUAAGGGUUUAGACAAUGCAAUUUAUUAUAAUUCUUUUUGUUCGAUUGCACACCUUUUCCUUUUGCUCCAUUCAUCAAUGGGAACAGGUGCUAGCUUGAAUAAUUUUACUCGAAUAAUUUUAUACAUAUACGUUUACUCGAAGAGUUAGCAAAGGCAAGAAAAAAAUGCACGAAAUUAUUAAAACGAAAAAUAUUGAAUUACAAAACAGAAAUUUUAUGCAACUUUUGUGCAAAUUUCAUUAUUGUUUUGACUAUCCCAACUGAGCCAUGCAUCCUCUUUUAAAUGACUCAACCAAAUUGUCCAAUGCAACACGAGAUGACCCACCAUCCCUCAUCGCUGCUGCAGCUGCUUCUUUCAUUUCAACCACACGUUCCUUAACAGCUCUGCCUUUCUCCGAGUCCAUCAACUCACUAACUCGCUGCUCCAACUCGGCUGCACUCACCAACCUUUCUUCUUCUUCUGACCGAGUCACCGCCAAACCCACCUUCAUUUCCUCCACAACGACCGCUUUAAUCAUCUUUUGCUCCGCAUACAGAGGCCAAGCCAACAUUGGCACCCCGGCACAAACACCUUCAAGCACCGAGUUCCACCCGCAGUGAGUCACAAACCCGCCAACUGACUCAUGAUUCAGUACCUCCACUUGCGGCGCCCACGAUUCAACCACGAGCCCCCUAUCUUUUGUUCUAUCCAAGAACCCUUCAGGUAAAAGAGACUCCAAUGAGCUUCGGUUCUCGACGCUGUCGGGAGCUGGAGCUCUCACGACCCAAAGAAACUUAACACCACUUCUCUCCAACCCAAUGGCCAUUUCUUUUAACUGCUUACAAGAGAACGAUCCCAAGCUUCCGAAACAAAGAAGCAGGACGCUUCGACUCGGUUUCGAAUCAAGCCAACUCAAUGAUUCAUGUCGAUCACGUCCUCGAUUCUCUCCAUUUCCUCCACCAACCACAGGCCCUAUGCAAUAGAAAGGCGGCAACGUCUCCCCUGGAGUGCAUUGUCCUUCUAGCAUUGCUUUGAUAGCUCUCUCUUCGAGCAAUUCAAAUGUGUUUACAAUAAGCCCCGCAGAUUUUGCCAUCUGGAUGCCGGUGUCGACAAAGCCCUUGUAUGCUUUACCCUCACGAUCAUGCAUGGGUUCCGCCAUGUCUCUUGCUGGAAAAGGCGGUAAUCCGGGGUAAUUUAAAAGCGUGCUGCCGAGUUCUCUGAAGCUCUUUGUGGUGUUUUUAUGAAGAGUUGGUAAGUAGAGGAGAGCAGCGAGUCCGCUCCCUCCGGAGGUGAAGUAAUAGUAAGUAGGGAUACUGAGAGUACUUGAGGAAACUUGAAACGCGGGGCUGCAAAAGAAAUCGAUAACAAAGGCUUUGAGGUUUGAGCGUUUGGAAAUUGUUAUUAGGGUUUCGUGGAGUUUAGGGUUGUUGAGCUCGCCAAGCUCGUACGCUAAGGCUGGGAGGUCAACUGGUGAACGUAAAGUGUCGAGUAGGCCGGAAACCGGAGGAGGGAGCUGGUGGAAGGUAACGGAGGGAACUGUGGCGGAGACGGAGGCGAUGUAAUCAUCGGUACCGGCGCUUGUUACGAACGGGGCGGUGGGGAUUAUGAUGUCGAUGGAGAAGCAAGGGUGAUACGUGAGUAUCAAUUUUCCUAAUUCAACCAUGGAGUUUAAGUGACCUCUUCCUGGAGAAGUAUAAAGGACGAUCGUAUCUUUCAUUGUUUUAAUCUUUAAUUUUACAAGUUAAAAUAAAAAAAACAGGAGAAAUGGUGAGAAAUUAUAGUGAGAGAGAAUGAGAGUGAUAAAGGGCUCCUUUGUGUUUGCUAAUCGCAAUGCAAUUAUGUAUCCACACCCAUGAGAAUGAGAGUGUAUCCACACCCACGACGAAACACCGGAAGCCUGUUGGUCACAGGGUUAAGAGGGCAGAAUUGUUGGUUGAAGUAAAGAGGAGGAUUUUGGGGAAACUCAACUCGGCUUCAAUCCCUUGUCUAACUUGUGGACUGAAUUAUUUAUAAAAAGGAGAAGGAAUUGCGUGUUGAGGAUCUGCUAUCACUUGUUUGACAGGUAUUGGGCCCAUCAGACAAUCACACUAUCACAGUAUGCUGACAUAAUUGACCUGACAUAUAUUCUAGCCCACACAGUACAACUUAACAUUUAUUUUAGCGGAUCCCCCUUAGUAAGCUACAGCUGGCUUGUCUUUUCAUUUCUGACCUGUUUGCUACAAAAUACCGUUUAGCCCCUUGAACUCUAUAUUAUUUAUAAUUUAUUCAUAAGUAUAUGAAACUUUCUCUAUUAUAAAAUUUUGUUGAGACCCUUACACUCUAUUUUAUUUUAUUGAAACCCUUAGAUUAGAGUAUCAAAUUAGCCACUUAUAAUUUUUAAAUUUUCAAAAUAUCCUCCAUUUAAUUAAAAAAUAUAAUAAUUAUUAAAUGAAUUAUAAUUACUGCUGUACGGCCAAGGCGGAUGUACGGUACAGCAGAUACNNNNNNNNNNNNNNNNAGUAUAAUUAUUUAAUCUAUUAACAAAAAUUAAUAAUAUUUUUUUAGUUAAAUUGUUAAUAAUAAUUAUUAACAAUCAUUAUUAUUAUUAUUAUUAAUUUUUGAAUAAUAAUAAUAAUCACAAUAAUUAAAAUAUAAAAUAAUUAUUAUGAUAAAAUUAAUUAAGGAUUUUAUAAUAAUUUGUUACAAUUUAACUCAUUUCGAUUUUGAUUCUAAGACAAAGUAAACACAUAAAUGAUAAUACAACUCAUUCUAAUUACAAUUCCUGCAGUUCAAGUAAAUAAAUUAUUCUUAUUCUGAUUCUAAUUCGUCAUUUCAAUUUUAUCUAUUGAGUUUCUAACUCAUUAUGUUUCUAGGUAAUUUUUAUUCUUAUUUAGUUAAUGCACUAUAAAAUUUUAAAUAUUUCAUAUUAAUUCCUAUUUACUAAAUAGGAAUCGAAAUUAGAGUGGUUUGGACCUCACAAGUCACACCACCCACCUUUUAAAGCCGAGAAAAUCUUUAGUUUGUGUAAUUAGAGAAGGAAAGGAAUUAUUGAAUAAUCUUUGAAUUUCAAGAAAUUGCAAAUGUGUAAAUUACAAAACUCCUUUAGAUGGAUGUUGUAACAUCUUCAUGGAAUAUUCCUGCGUAUAAUAAGUAGAUCAUUUUUGUGAAACGACAGUGCCAAAAUCAAGAUCAAAAUAUCAUUAAUUUGAGGGGGCCAAAAUUAAACUUUGUAUACAAAUGGGUAAAAUUUCAGUUAAAUAUAUUAUCUUAUCUUUUAAGAAAUUCUAGACAUCAACAUAGUUCUGCACCACAUAAUACAUCAUUGACUAUAUAUACACAAAAUUUUCAAUAUAAAAUUUUAAAAUGCGAGAAAAUCUUAAAAAAUUUUUAAACCGCAGCUCUCUCUCUCUACAUACAUACAUACAUAUAUAUAGUGUCGGAACGCAUCUGCCAUUACGCAUAUAUAUCAUUUUCAUUGUCCUGGACCAAAUUCUGCAUUUUGGACACUCAUUUAUUUUUCACGAACGUCGAAGAGUCAAAAAGAGAGAACGAGAGAGGGAAAAAAUGCAUGUACUUUGAUUAUUACUUCGUGAAGACUAGGCAAAGCAAUUGGUGUUGGCAAAGCCCAUAUUAAUUUUUAGUUGCUAUCUUCUCCAAUAAUUUAAACUCGUAUGGUUGAAUAAAUGAGCAGUUACACAUAUUAUAAAAGUCACAAGAUAAUUCUCAAGAAUUUUGAUGAUUAUGUAGAAGAUUUUCUCAAUUAAGACAAUGGAAACCACUAUGAGCUAAAAUCAAUAUGUCAUUAUGACCAUUCAUAUACGGCAAGUACUUGUUAUUGCCAUUAUAAAUUGCACAUAAGGAAAACAUCGCGACCGUCAUGAAAUGAUAUGUCAUCCGAUUGAAAAUUUCUAAAAUGUUGUGAUGAACAUAAAUUUUAUAAAUUAUAUAUAAGACUAUAAAAUAAAAUGUGAAAAUAAGUAAAUUAAUAAAAAAAUUAUUAACUGUUAUAAAAUUAACCAGGUUCUACAAAAUUUUAGUGAAAAAUAAUUUAUUCAUUUGUUUUAGUUAAACAAAGAAAAAUCGCUCAUCAAUUAGAAACAAAAAUUUGUACUGAAAACAAGUGUAAUAAAUUCAAUUGAAUUGUUUUAACUAUAAAUUUUAUAUUCAUUUCAUGACAUUUACAAAACUUUUUUUAUUUAAUUUUCUAUAAUAGUAGUUGUUUACUACACAAGUUAAUUAAGCAAAAUUAUUUAGCUUGAUGUAGAUUAAGUCAAAAUAAAAUUAACAAUAUAUUCUAUUAUUACUAGACACAUAUAUGAUAUAUCAAUAAAAUUAGAUUUAAUUUUGAGUCUUACAUCAUAUUCAUAGAAAUCUAUAUAACACUUUUUUUAAAAAAAAUAACUUUUAAUAAAUCAUUAUGAGUGUAUAAAUGUCAUUGUGAAUGUCAAAACUAAUAAAAUAGUCCAUUUAAUAAUAAAAGUUAACGAAUGUGGGUGCAUUUAUCCACGAGGGGUGUAUUUUGUUCUUUUUGUAAAAAUUUGGAGUUGUAUGUCUUAUUAUCCAAAAUAAAAUGAUAAUUAAUUAAAAAGAAUAUAUAGUAAAUUCUUUUAAAUUUUUUUCCAAGUCGACUGAAGACUUGUACGUUAAGAUGAACGAAGUAUAUUGGCAUAGGUCCCUGGGUUUCAUAUACAACUAUACAGAUAUAUCAUAUAUGUAUAUUCAUAGCGGAUCAAAUAAAAUUACAAUGCAAUCCAAGUGGCUCCUUUUGCUUACACAAGUAGCUUUAUUUUCUGUGAUUUCGUUACAGUUGGCGCCAAGAGUUGCAGAUUGUUCUAACAACACAACAAUAAGGUGCAUAGAUGAGUAAAGAGAAGCACUCCUCACUUUCAAACAUAGCGUGGUGGACGAACAUGGCAUUCUGUCUUCCUGGGGAAGUGAAGAUAACAAAAGAGAUUGCAGUGAAUGGAUAGGAGUCCUCUGUAGAAACAAAACGCGCCACGUAUACGCUCUUGAUCUUCAUCAACACGGGGCUCUAAAACUGAAAGGUAAAAUAUUAAGCCUUCUUUGCGUAAAUUGCAACAUUUAACUUAUUUGGACCUCAGUUUCAAUGAUUUCAGUGGAAUUCUGAUUGCUGACUGUUAAGGAAGCACACAAUGUGUGGAAGCAUUCUGCACACGUGUGAGUGGAAUCCAGUCAGCUGAAUUGGUUGAAGAAUGUAAUGCCAGCUCAGCAGAAGUUAGUUAAGCACACUAAGUUUCUGUUUCAGUUUGUUUUUCUCUUCUGUUAACUGCAAAUGAACUGAAUAUAAAUAAGUGCAUUUUGUAAUCAUUCUGUAAUUAGAGAAAAAGAAAUAAAUAUGAAAUUCUAGAAGCCUCUUUAUAAUUUUCUUAGCAAUCAAAACAUAUUUUCUUAGUAACCAAACAGAUUGAUCGUUGAAGUUUCAAGGCUUCAUACUCAUCCCUCAUGGCUUGAUGCCAAUUCUAAUCACUAAGAGCAAUCAAAACAUAUUUUCUUAUUUAGACCUUUGGUUUGAAGAUUCCAAACUUUGAUCUGGUAAUGAUUGGAUGAGAGGAUUGUGGGGGAAGAUUUCUGGUUUGAUUCUGAUAUGUGUUUUGUGGAAUAGAUGGUUGUGUUGGUAAUGUAUUUGGUUCAGUUUGUGGUUGUGUUGAUAAUGUAUUUGGUGAUGGUGAGGUUGAAGAUGACAAUUCUGAGAGUGUGUGUGGUGAAUGUUCCUGUUGAUUCAGAUUAUUUGUAUGUGUAGGAAUAGAAGACAUUUGUUCAUUCCUUGCUGAUCCCGAACCAGAAAGUGCGGGAAACGUCAAAGAAAACUUUAAAACCGCGAGGUUUAAAAGGCUUAAAACUUAAAGCGCUUAAACCACACAGUUUAUGUGUUUUCCCAGACGUUCCCGUGCUUUAAAAUUCUGGACUGGAACAUUUUUCAUAUAUAUAUAUGUCCUCAUGUCUGAUUAAGAUCCUCACAUGGUCUAAUGUGCUUCUGAGCAAAAUUCACUCAAAUUAACAAUUUUAUUUCUAGUUUAAAUAUUAUGAAAUGGGCCCUUUAACUUUAUGAGGAUCAGGUUAUGGCAUCCUUUUAUUUGUUGUUUAUCAAGUAUAACUGUCGAUUAUCAAACCAAAAUAAAAAUAAUAACGAUUUUUAUCCAAAAGAAAGUCCAGUCCGAGCUACUAAUCUUUCCUUGCAAAUUACCGAGAAUUGAUUUAAGUGCAUCAAGGCCUUUUCCUUCAAUCGCUUAAUAUUACUGAUUUCUAGCCCAUUAUCCUUGUUGUUUGAAACUAGUGUUCACAUUUCCAAUUUAUUGGGGGUUGAUAGAACUUUUGAUUUUGCAAGUGAAAAUCACCAUCUAUCAUGCCUUGUGCUGGUAAAAAUAAGCAUAUCUAAGAGCUUACUUUUUCAUUUGAUAGGAAUCCGAUUAAUCUGGUAUUUAAGUAGGUAACUUCCAAUAAUUAGAAAUUACUCUGUCUCUUCAAUAGAUACCAAUGAUUCAACGAGGUAAUGCUUGGGGUGUAUAGUGUUAUGACCAAAUAUACUUGAGCAAAGGUCGUUUCCUCAUUGUCGAGGAGCUGUCUGAUAUCUGUUAAGAUAUUUGAAUUGGUUAAUUACAGUUAGCUUAGCUUUCUGUUUAGUUAGUUAAGUGAAAUUGUUAGUAGUGCUGAUGUGGCAGUCCAGUCAGCUGAAUUUGUUAUGAUCGUUAGCUUUAAACAAACACAUUGCUCAUGUGCAGAGUGUAGAAGAUUCUAUAUAGACUCAUGUAUAAAUACUUGUAAUCCUGCUCAUUGGAGCUUAAGAUCAAUACAACGUUUUCACUCUGUUUUCUCUCUCAUUUUCUCUGCAACCAAACAACUCUUUUAUCUUUACAUGGUAUCAGAGCCAAAUUUGUAAGCUGAAAAAUGGCCUUAGCUCAUUCUAAUCAAAACGCAGUAACCUCUAUUUCUUCAUUUACGUUCACAUCACCAAUUAAACUCGAUUGAUCGAAUUAUACAAUCUGGAAGUCUCAGAUCCUUUUUUCAGUUCGUGCUAAUGGACUUGAAGAUCUUCUUGAUAGUUCAAAGUGCUAUCCAUAUCAAUUUCUUCCUCAAGAUUCUGAAGACUCAACUGAAACUCAGAUUAAUCCAGCCUUCACCGCUUGGAAGAGGAAGGAUCAAAUGCUGCUGAGCUGGUUGAUGUCAUCUAUUAAUCUCGAGAUUCUCAGCCUUGUGGUAAAUUCUGAAACCUCUCUUGAUCUGUGGAUAAGUCUUGAGCAGCAGUUUGGAUCUGAAACAUUUACUAAAAAGGUUCACCUAAAGAUAAUGCUUAACAAUCUGAAAAAAGGAUCAAUGUCUAUGACUGAUUUCUUUGGGAAACUAAAAUUGAUAACUGAUGAAUUAGCCAUUGCUGGAAAUCCUAUCAGCUCUUUAGAUUUCAUUACUCACCNNNNNNNNNNNNNNNNNNNNNNNNNNNNNNNNNNNNNNNNNNNNNNNNNNNNNNNNNNNNNNNNNNNNNNNNNNNNNNNNNNNNNNNNNNNNNNNNNNNNNNNNNNNNNNNNNNNNNNNNNNNNNNNNNNNNNNNNNNAUAAAGUUCAAAAUAUAUCUUACAUUAAUAUUGAUCCAUUACAAAGUCACAUUCAAAAUAUAAAUUAUUAAAAUAAUUAUCUUUGUCAAUGACUCCUGCUGUACCGUACAUCCGCCUUGGCCGUACAGCAGUUAUACACAAGGUCAGGGGAGAGGUAAUUGGAAUAAUAAUUGGAGUGAUAAUGGUAUGCAAACUGGAAACUAUCAAGGAAGAGGAUCAUUUCAAACUGGAAACUAUCAAGGAAGAGGUUAUGCUGGAAAUGGAGUUUAUGUUAGUGGCAAUGGCAAUGGUAACUUUGCCAGGAGUGGUGGAGGUUUUAAUAUUGGCAAGAAUUUCCUUGAUCCAAAUAUUGCCACUGUCACUUGUCAAAUCUGUUUUAAACCAAGGCAUACUACAGCUGAGUGCAGAAACAAGUUUAAUCGAGAUUUUGCUCCCUUUUAUCCAACCUUUGGCUACAAUCCAGCUCAGUCUCAAGUACCAAGAGCAGCUUUUCUUACAACUUCUGAAGGAGAAAUGGCAGAUCAAGGCUGGUAUAUUGACAGUGGGGCAACCCACCAUCUCACCAACAAUUUGCAAAAUCUGAAUCUUGGAAAAGAGUAUUCAGGUAAUCAGUUACUGCAUGUUGGUAAUGGUCAAGGAUUAUACAUCUCACAUAUUGGAUAUACCUGUUUAUCUACAUCAUGUGGCUCAUUUUUACAUUUGCAUGAUAUCUUAUAUGUUCCUCAGCUCACAAAAAAUCUGAUUAGCAUUUCCAAAUUACUUGAGAAUACCAAUUUAAUCAUUGAAUUUGUUGCAAAUAUGUGUUUUAUUAAGGACAAAAAGAGGGAAGUUCAUCUGGCUCAAGGGAUUGCUAGAGGAGGGUUGUAUCAACUGCUAUCAAAAAAUGACUUUGUCUCAAACUCUUGUAAUCUGACCUAUGGUCCUAGUUCUAUGCUUUCUAUUUUCAAUAACUCAACUUGUAAUCAUUCUGAUUCAGCUGAGAAUAAAAUUAUGGUCCUAGAUCUAUGCUUUCUAUUUUCAAUAACUCAACUUAUAAUCAUUCUGAUUCAGCUGAGAAUAAAGCUUGUAUACCUCAGUGUCAUACAAACACUGUCAAGUCAAUAAUGUCAGCAAACUUGUUUCAUCAACGUUUUGGUCAUCAUAGCAAGCAUGUAUUAAAAUGUAUUUUGUCUUCCCUGUCACUUAACUGCAAUGUUACUAUGCCUGAUUUCUGUGAUGCAUGUCAAUAUGGCAAAAUGCAUCAGCUUCCCUUUUACUCAACAGGCAUCAACACUAAAGCUCCCCUAGAACUUAUUCAUACUGAUCUUUGGGGUCCAGCACCAUUACCUUCCUCAAAUGGUUAUAGAUAUUAUAUAAGUUUUGUGGAUGACUACAGCAGAUAUUGUUGGAUAUUCCCCUUAACUCUAAAAUCCGAAGCUCUAGACACCUUCAAAUUCUUCAAAAACUUAGUUGAAAAACAAAUUGGGUGUCCUGUCAAAGCUUUACAAUCAGAUUGGGGGGGAGAAUAUAGGAAUUUUCAAUAGUUUCUUAAGGAAGAAGGGGUAGUUUUUAGGCAUAGCUAUCCUCACACACAUCAUCAAAAUGGUGUGGUAGAGAGGAAGCAUAGACACAUUGUAGAAACAGGGCUGACCUUGCUUGCUCAAGCCAAAAUACCCUUAUCCUUUUGGUGGGAAUCCUUUCAUACUGCUUCUUUUCUUAUAAAUCGAAUGCCAACACCCAUUUUAAAUAAUCAGUCACCCUUUACCAAACUCUAUGGCAGAAAGCCUAAUUAUCACUUUCUUAGAACUUUUGGCUGCUCAUGCUACCCUUUUCUCAAGCCUUACAGUAAGCACAAAUUCAAUUUUCAUACACAAAAGUGUGUCAUGAUUGGUUACAGUCCCAUACAUAAGGGGUAUAAGUGUCUUGACUCCUCUGGGAAGAUUUAUAUUGCUAGACAUGUGACAUUUAAUGAAUCUGAGUUUCCAUACUCAGAACUUUUUCCUUCCUAUAAGCCAAAUCACAAAAUACAGUUGAGUCAGUUUCUUUCUACAAAUUUCUCUCUUUCAGCAGUCAUUGAAGAUAUAAGCAACAUACAAUCCUCUCUCAGCUCUCCAAUUCCAAGUGCAGCUCCUGAUUCAAUUCAUUCUGAAACACAAUCUGUGCGAUAAUCUCCAAACACUUCAUCACAAAGCUUAGACUCCCAACCAUUAUUUGCUAAUCAGUCUACUCAGCUACAAACACAACCUUUAUCAACACCUGCUAUCCAAAACACCCAUUCCAUGGUCACUAGAUCAAAAGCUGGAGUGUUUAAACCCAAAACAUAUCUAGCAGCAGUCCAAGAGCUUGAGCCAUAUUCUGUAAAAGCUGCUUUAGCAGAUCCUAAGUGGAAGCAAGCUAUGCAAGAUGAAUAUGAAGCAUUGGAGAAAAAUGAAAUCUGGGUUCUGGUUCCCAAGGAGUCAGCAGGAAAGAUUGUUGGCAACAAAUGGGUUUUCAGAGUCAAGUAUAAAGCAAGACUAGUUGCAAAGGGGUUCCAUCAAACACAAGGUGUAGACUUCUUUGAAACCUUUAGUCCAGUUGUUAAGCAAUGCACAAUCAGAGUUAUUCUUAGCCUUGCUGUUAUGCAUAACUGGACAGUGAGACAGCUAGAUGUUAAUAAUGCGUUUCUCCAUGGCAUACUUACUGAAAAUGUCUUCAUGCAUCAACCUGAGGGCUUUGUUCAUCCUCAGUUUCCAUCACAUGUAUGUCAGCUUACCAAGGCCCUUUAUGGACUCAAGCAAGCACCCAGGGCCUGGUAUGAUAGAUUGAAAUCAUCUCUAUUGCAGUGGGGGUUCAUUGCUUCUAAGUCUGACACCUCAUUGUUUAUUCAUCAUGUGGGAGAAGACAUUGUAGUUAUACUUAUCUAUGUGGAUGAUAUCUUAAUAACUGGUUCUAACUCUAAGUUUGUAGAAGGAGUUAUAAAUAAGUUGGGGACAGAAUUUGCAUUAAAGGAUCUCGGAGAGUUUAAUUACUUUCUUGGUCUUGAAGUUACCCCAUCAGUUGAAGGAUUGCAUUUGUCACAAACUAAGUAUAUAGGAGACUUAUUGAAGAAAGCUCAGAUGUUAGAUUGCAAAGGAUGUCAAACUCCUAUGAGCUCAACAGAGAAGCUGAUUAAGAACAAAGGAGCCAUGUUUGAAAAUCCCUCACUUUACAGAAGCUUGGUUGGUUCUCUGCAAUAUGUUACUUUAACAAGGCCUGAGAUUGCAUUUACAGUAAACAAGCUUAGUCAAUUUCUUGCUUGUCCAUCAGUCUUUCACUGGCAGGCUUGUUAAAGAGUGCUGAGAUAUUUGCAGAAUACAACAAACUAUGGCCUGCAGUUCUACAGUUCUGGAUCUCUUAAUCUCACAGCUUUCUCAUAUGCAGAUUGGGGUUCAGAUUUGGAUGAUAGAAGAUCCGUAGGAAGAUAUUGUGUUUACUUGGGAAAUAGCUUGAUUUCAUGGUCUUCAAAGAAGCAACACAUAGUUUCCAAGAGUACUGCUGAGUCUGAGUAUAGAGCUUUAGCUCUAGCUGCAGCAGAGGUGCUAUGGAUUACUUACUUACUUAAAGAAUUAAAGAUGUCAUUACAGCAAACUCCAGUUAUCCACUGUGAUAACAAAAGUGCUGAAGCAUUAGCUAGUAAUCCAAAGUAUCAUUCCACGACUAAACAUAUUGAACUUGAUCUUCAUUUCAUUAGAGAACAUAUAGCCAAAAAGGAACUUCAGGUCAGCCAUGUUCCCAGCCAUGAACAAGUUGCUGAUAUACUUACAAAACCCUUGGCUUAUGAUCAAUUCAAUUAUCUGCGUUCCAAGCUCAAUGUUCUUUCUAGACCUUGAGCUUGAAGAAGAAUGUUAAGAUAUUUGAAUUGGUUAAUUACAGUUAGCUUAGCUUUCUGUUUAGUUAGUUAAGUGAAAUUGUUAGUAGUGCUGAUGUGGCAGUCCAGUCAGCUGAAUUUGUUAUGAUCCUUAGCUUUAAACAAACACAUUGCUCAUGUGUAGAGUGUAGAAGAUUCUAUAUAGACUCAUGUAUAAAUACUUGUAAUCCUGCUCAUUUGAGCUUAAGAUCAAUACAACGUUUUCACUCUGUUUUCUCUCUCAUUUUCUCUGCAACCAAACAACUCUUUUAUCUUUACAAUAUCCAAGUGUAGGAGUCAUAUGUUCAUUGUCGAGGAGCUAUCUAGUACGACUGUUAGAUGAAGCACGAGGAGACUGAAUGGUAGCUAUCAAUGGUAGCUAUCAACACGUGCAUUCUUCCCACUCGACAAUGGUUACGGUGCUCAUGUACUCACAAUGCAACACCUAAUGAAGUGACGAACAUGGGAUAAUAGAGAUCGAAUGUCCAGGCAGGUUAUAAAAGGGACAUUCGGAGAAGGUAAAGAGGUUAGACACUAUGAGGUAAAAUUUAUCUAAAAUUUAAUUCUCUUUGGCACUUUUUCUUCCCUCUUCUUGACCCUUUUUUCAAGAAUUAAAAGAUAAAAAAUCACAGAUAAGCCACGAGACUAGUGGCAUAGUUUUUCCUAAUCCCAGAUUGCUGACUUGAGUGUCAGAGGGUUUACACCAAAAAAACCUCAAGCGUCCUCUGACUGGCUGUUGUGCAUGCAGGAAGCUGCUGAUGAGAAGUUUAAGGCUCCAUUCUCUAAGAUAUCUCAACCUGGAGGAGAACAAUCUUGCUAAUUGUAGUGAUUGGUUUCAAGUAAUUGGCAAGCUCCAUUCUCUGAAAACCUUGACCUCGCACUCAUGUUAUCUUCGACCCGUUAUUCCUUUGUCUCUUAAUCACCUCAAUUUUAGUACAUCUCUUAAGACCCUUGUUCUCUCUUAUAAUAAUCUCACUUCUUCCAUAUUCCCUUAGUUGUCCAACAUCAGUAGCAAUUUUGUUUCAAUUGACCUUAGUUUUAACCAAUUACAAGGUUCAAUUCCAGAUUCUUCUCAACACAUGGUUUAUCUUGAACAUCUCAGUCUCAUGUUCAAUGAACUUGAAGGUGGGAUUCCCAAAUUCUUCGGAAACAUGUUAAACUUGUCUGAUAACAAACUCGGUGGAUAGCUCUCAGCAAUCAUUCAAAAUAUGUCGAGUGGAUGCUUGAAGAAUUCACUAGAGUCGCUGCAUUUAGAAGUCAAUCACUUCACAGGGCCAAUACCUGAUCUCGGAGGAUUUUCAUCCAUGAAAAGAUUAUAUCUUUCAGAUAAUCUUUUGAAUGGGACUAUAAACAAAAGCAUCGGUCAAAUAUUCAAGCUUGAGAUUACGUGUCUUUCCCAGAAUUCAUUGACAGGUGUUAUCUUUGAAUUUUCUUUUUUUCCCAAUAUCUCCAACUUGAAGGAAUUGCAUUUAGCUAACAACCCUUUGGUUUUGAAGCUGAGCAAUGAUUAGGUUCCUCCUUUUCAACUGAUUAUUACAAGUCGUUCCUCUUGUAAGAUAGGGCCUUAUUUUCCUAAAUGGCAUCAAACUCAGAAUCAAAUUGAGUUACUUGACAUCUCCAAUACUGGAAUCUCAGAUACUAUCCCUGAUUGAUUUUGGGAUCUAUCCAAUAAAUUCUCCUUUUUAGAUCUUGCUAACAUCCAGAUCAAGGGUAAACUUCCGGACUUGUCUUCAAGGUUUGGUACUUCUAAUCCUGGUAUAGAUAUUAGCUCAAACCAUUUUGAGGGUCCAAUACCACCACUUCCUUCAAAUUCUUCCUUCUUAAAUCUCUCUAAAAAUAGAUUCUCAAGGUCAAUUUCCUUAUGUUCUAUCAGCGGCAGCAAAUUGACGUACAUUGAUCUCUCCAGCAACUUAUUAUCAGGUAAGCUUCCCGAUUGUUGGUGGAUGUUUGAUAGUUUGGUCAUUCUUGAUUUGGGAAACAAUAGCUUCUCUGGUAGAAUACCAGACUCGAUGGGCUUCCUACAAAAUAUCCAAACACAGUUUACACAGCAACAGUUUAACCGGCGAACUGUCUUCAUCGUUUGGGAAUUGCUCACAACUCAGACUUUUGAAUCUUGGGAAGAACGCUUUGUACGGUGAGAUACCAACAUGGAUGGGGGAAAGCCUUUCAAAUUUGAUUGUUCUUAGCUUGAAAUCUAACAAAUUUCAUGGAAAAACACCUUUCCAGUUAUGCCAAUUUGCAUUCCUUCAAGUCUUGGAUCUUUCUUUAAACAAUAUAUCGGGAAAGAUACCAAAGUGUUUCAAUAAUUUUACUGCUAUGACCCAAGAAAGAAGUUCCGAUCCCACCAUUAAGGUGUACUAUUACACCUUUGUUGGCCCUCCAUAUGUACAUCACUAUAGCUUUCAGGACAAAGUCAUGCCGACAUGGAAAGGAAGUGGACGUGAGUACAGAAGUACUCUGGGGCUUAUAAAGAGCCUUGAACUUUCAAGUAACAAAUUAAAUGGAGCAGUUCCCGAAGAGAUAAUGGAUCUUGUGGGAUUGGUUGCCUUAAACCUUUCAAGAAACCAUUUGACUGGACAAAACUCUCCAAAGAUUGGUCAGUUAAAAUCAUUGGAUUUCCUCGAUUUGUCUAGAAACCAGCUUGUUGGCGGCAUUCCCUCGAGCCUUUCUCCGUUAAGUGUUCUGAGUGUCAUGGACUUGUCAUACAACAACUUGUCGGGAAAAAUUCCAACAGGCACUCAACUUCAGAGCUUCAAUGGCUCAGUGUAUGCUGGAAAUCCUGAACUUUGCGGUCUCCCACUUCCAAAUAAGUGUAGGGAUGAAGAAUCGGCUCCAGGGCCAGGCAUGACUGAAGGCAGAGAUGACGCGGACACUUCAGAAGAUGAUAUGAAGAUCAGUUUAUAACUCUCGGGUUUUAUGUGUCUUUGAUUCUUGGUUUCAUGUUGCGUUUUGGGGAGUUUGUGGCCCUUUACUUCGGAGUUAAUUAAUAAAUCGUAAAGGCUCCGUGUGACAGCAGCGAUGAAUAUUGCAAAACUACAACAACUAAACUUAAUGGUAAUACUACUUCACGUGUGGCGGUGUUUUAGUUCAUUAUGAUGAUUACAGAGGCUCACAUGCUUUUUCUUUCAUAAACUAAUGAUUCAUUGAUUUUUAUUUUUAUUUUCUCACCAAUUCUGGCAGGAGCAUUGUGUCUUUCUCGUAUCGUAUGGCAUUCUCUACAGAGAUCUCCUCCUAGCUUUCUAAAUAAUUAACUUAGUCUUCUCAUAUCAUACGUAUGUGGUACAUUAUGUAUAUGUUGGGUGAAUGCUUGAAGGAACUUCUGUAAUCUGUAUGUUUCUCUUUAGAAUUUAGAUCAUCAUCUAUAUAUGCCCAGUUAACGUUUUUAUUAAUAAUCCUUCUGUAAUUAUCACGAAAAAUGAAAUUCACUUGUGAAUGUGAUGAGACUGGUAUUUUCAAAAUACCAGCACUUUUUUUAGUUUUGGCAUUUGUUGAUUCACAAUGCCUGUCAGCUACUUUUUAAGGCAAAGCCAAAACCCCAACAAAGGAGAAAUUCUCUUUUAAUUUAUAACAAGCCAAGUAUGUGGUCUUCCAAACACACGGAAUGAGUCAAAUCAAUUUAUGGGCUAGUUGCAGUUGCAGAUUGUUUAAUUUUGAAUUGGAUUAAAUUUUAAUUUAAACUAAAUUAUUAUAAAUAAAGAAAAUUCCUAGGUGGCUGCAGAUUAUGUUGAUAAUUCAUAUAUAAUUUCUUAGUCUCUCCUCCUCUUUAGCUCUCUUCUAUUACACUCCGACAAUUAUGCGGCAUAAUUGUAAACAACAAGAAAAUGCUUUGCACCUACACAAAUUCACUUUGUCAAGAAAGUGGAGGUGGAGUGCUAAUAAUCUAAUUGUUAACUUUAGCUAUUAAUUAAUUAUUUCCACCAACAUUAAUAUAACUAUUGGCUCACAGAGCAGAUCAAGUGACCGCAUGUCUCUAUGCGCUUGUCCUAAACUCACAUGACAGCGGCUGCAGCACGUGGCUGAGAGUUUUUGUUGACAGUGGCAGCAGCAGCAGAUGACAGCAGCGAGAGCAGCAGCGACAAGCAGCAGCGACGAGCAGCAGCGAGAGCAGCAGCGACAAGCAGCAGCGACGAGCAGCAGCGACGAGCAACAGCGACAAGCAGCAGCGACAAGAAGCAGCGACGAGCGGCGGCGGCGACGAGCAAUGGGGACGAGAUUCCAGCGGCUGAAGGUCACGAGUUCGGUUUCGGUUGACGAUCAGAAGUGAUGUUUAGUUUAGACUUUAGGGAUUGCUGGAUUGUUAUUUGGUUUAUUUGAUAUUCGGUUCAGUUUUUCAGUUUUUUUUUUAAAUUGAAAACCGCACCGACUGGUUUUACUAUUUUCAUUAUAUUAUUUAUUCGGUUUUUUAGAUGUAAAAAAUCCGCACAAAAACCAAACCGAACCGAACGAUUCGGUUCGGUUUUUGAUUAAUCAGCUUUUUUUGCCCACCCCUAAUUAUGCUGCAUAUGCACUAUUGGUGGUUGUCGAAGCCUGCAAAAAUAAAUACAUACUCUAAAUAAAUUGUGUAUAGUGAUUGAGCAGGAUCAUGUCCACAGAGAUCGGUAAUUAUUUAAAUUCUUUUAAAAUGUAAAAUGCAAAAUGGGAGGAUUGUUGACAAUAAUAAAAAUCAAAUUAAAAUAACAAGAAUGCAAAUUAAAAUUGUAAUUAAAAUUGUAAUUAAAAUUGGGAAAAGUUCUGGUUGAAGGAAUUAAUUCAGCUUGAUUCGACUACUGAUCAUUGAUUCAAAUAUAAAUCAUUACUACUUAUGAAUAAACCGGUUAUAGCUACUGAUAGGGAUGGCAAUGGGGAGGGGAGGGGAGGGGAGGGGACCAAUCUCCCCAUACCCAUCCCCGAUAUUUUGUUAUGUCCCCGUCCCCUCCCCGUCCCCGUCAGAAUUACUUAAGUGAAUCCCCAUCCCCUCCCCGAAUACUAACAGGGGAUCCCCGAGGGUCCCCGGUCCCCGAAUAAUUAAUAGUCUAAUACAUUUUUUUUUUCGAUUUUAAAUUAAUCAUAUUAAAAUAAAAAAUUCAGAUAAAAAUAAAGUUCAAAAUAUAUCUUGCAUUAAUAUUGAUCCAUUUCAAAGUCACAUUCAAAAAUAUAAAUUAUUAAAAUAAUUAUCUUUGUCAAUGACUCAAUCUUCAUAAUCCUACAAUAAAAAGAAAAAAAAUUAUUUUUAUAUCGACAAUAAAAUAAAUGUAGAUACUUAAUUAAUAUUUUUAAUAAAACUAUUUACCUCCUGCUCCUCCAGUUCUUCCUCGAGAAAUGUGGCAAAUUGAGAGCUAACCUCAGAUUUCAAACCUAAAACAAUGAAAAUGAUAUAAGUAACGUAACUUAUAAGCGCAAAUAUUAAUAACUGUAUAAUAUAAUUACAAUGUAAAAUAAACUCAUACUGCUAUUGUAAGCUCGUAACCAACUUUGACAGCAUAUUAAGGCCUCCAAUGUGCUUGGAUGAAGUUUGUUACGGUGUGAGCUCACAACUCUACCACCGGUGCUAAAAGCUGAUUCAGAAGCAACUGUUGUAAUUGGAAUUGCCAAAAUAUCUCUAGCAAUUCGAGCUAAUGUAGGAUACGAAUUAGGAUUAGAACUGUUGUAAAUUAUAAUUAGGCAGCUCUCUCCUGUAUCAUUGUGGUUUGGAUUAAAAAUUUAAGACUUUAAUUAGUUAAUUAAGUUUAAAAGUUUAAUAAUAUAACUAUUUUAAUAUUUAUUAUUUUUAACAAUAUUUAUAAUUUUGUUAUUUAUUUAUUAGUAAUUUUAAAAAUAAAAAUAAAAUUAAAAAUUAAAAUGGGGAAAUGGGUAGGGGAUGGGGAUUCCACCUCAUCCCCGUCCCCUCCCCGAAUAAAAAAUUGGGUAAAAAAUUUUCCCCGUCCCCUCCCCGAAUAAAAAAUUGGGUAUAAAAUUAUCCCCGUACCCUCCCCGAAUGGGGAAAAUCCCCGAGGGUACCCGUCCCCGUGGGGAUUUUUGCCAUCCCUAGCUACUGAGACCCUUUAAUAGCCAAUCUCUCUUUAACUAGUCGAUAACUAAGGUACGACCAUUGGUUAUUUCCCUAAUUAAUAGAUAACCCUAGAUACAAUCAUAGGAUUUAAUUAAUUGACAACCUGAAAAAUCAGAGAGACCCAAAUCCUAAUCAACAAACGCAUACGAUGGUUCAUUUAAAUUAGAUUGUUUAUUCUCAUAACACAACGCACUGCUAUGCUAUUUGUCACAAAUAUUAAAAUCUUCAUACGAUGAAUCUUUUAAUUGACAAUAGAUUAAGUUGAUAAUUAAAUAGUGGCCAAUUAUCUAAUUAACAAAUAUAAUCAUGACAAUAAUUUAGAGAAUAAACAAAUACCCAAAAAGCAAUAAAACAAUUAAAGCAUAAGAAAGAUCUCACAGUAAUGAUGAACCAAAGCUUUAUUAAUCUUCAACCAGAAUAAUAGGUUUAGUUCUUCAUAGAGAGAAGAGAAAAAUUUAGAUCUAGGGUUUCUUUUUCUUUCCCCUUCAAAAAAUCUACCCCCUUUGUUUUUCACGUCCCUUUUCUUUCCUAGCUUUUCCAAAAAUAAAAUACUAAUAUCUAAAGUAUUAUCUAAAUAUUAAAUUCAAAAUUACAAAAAUAACCAAAAAGAUAAAACACGUUAAAAUAAAAACUGCAGGUCCUUAGUUGACAACACGCGCCCACGCCUUAUUAACAAAGUUUUUCUGAAGCUCAUAAUUUUUUCAGGAAAACAAUCAUCCUCAAACAUCAUCUUGUAGCUCAAUUUUAGCACCAAUCAAUAGAAUUGCACCUACAAAAAUAAAACACAAAUAAAUCAUUGUUAUUAAGAGCAAAACAUUGAUAUUAAAGGAAGUAAACAAUGCAAAACUAGUGCAUAAAUUGCACUCUAACAACCAUAUUACGUUUAAUAUUUGAUGUUCUAAAUUGUACUCCAACCACUCUGCCAGGAAACACGAUAAUAUAUUUUACUUUCGUUGUUCUGAAUCGCACUCCAUUUAAUUGACUUCUCAUUUUAUAUAUAAGUAUUUUAAAAAAAAUAUGUAGACAUCGUGGAUGGAUCUAUGGGCCAUUUAUGUAUUAUGAUAGCUUUUAAAAGGAAAAUUAUCACUGCACCAUAUUUUUUUUGCCUUAUGUUCAUUCAACCAUUACAAAAUUCUAACAUGUUCUCUGUAUCAUCUUUCUUUUUAAAUUUGUAUCAAUUAACCACUUUUGCCCUAAUACUCUUAAAUAAUUUAAACGAAAUGACAAUUUUACCCCUAAAUAAAUUAAAAGACCAUUUUAUCUUAUAAAAGUUUGAAAAAUAAAAAAAAUUAUAAUUAUAAAAAUACCCCUAAAUUUUAAAAAAUAAAUCCAAAAUAGAGGUGCUUAGUUGAUUUUUAUUAAAUUUAGAUUUUGCAAAAUUUUAAUUAUUAUUUUUAUUAAAAAUUUAUAAUUUUCAAAAUUAUAAUAAAAAAUAACUGAAUUUAUUUAUUAAAAAUUAUAAUUUUGUAAAAUUUUAUUAAAAUAACUGAAUUUAUUUAUUAAAAAAUAAAUAUUCAAAUAGGGGUAUUUUUAUAAUUAUAAUUUUUUUAUUUUCAAAACUUUUACAAGAUAAAAUGAUCUUUUAAUUUGUACAAAUAAUAAGUUGUGGAAGAAUUAAUUAAAUGUUUAUAAGAAUGCAAGUUAUUGAAAUGAAUAUAAUGCUGAAUAAAAUUUACUUGCACAUUUAUAAGCAUGCAUAAAUAAUUUUUUUUGUAUUUUAUUAAUUUUAUUUAUGUUAUUUUGUUAUCUCAAUAUAAAUGGUGAUAAUAAUAAUCUCUUUAAGUGCCUGUUUGAUAUGACUUAUUUAAUGGUUAUAAGUGUUUAUUUAAUCUCAUAAGCUCUAAUCAUAAUAUUUGUUAUUUUUUAUUGCUUUUUUAAUAGAGCAUUUGAAGCUUAAAUAAAAUGUUUUGCCUUUACUAGUAAAAGCUUAAAUUUUGGAUUUUUGAGAGUAGAUGUUGAAAAAUUAUUUUUAAAUAUUAAAAUAUCUAAAAUAUCCUCUAUUUAUUUAAUAAUCUUAUUUUAUUCUUUUCAUAACAUAACUUUAAAAAGUUUGCUUAUUAAAGUAAUUUCAUAAAUUUUUAAUAAAAGCUCUUAUUGACAACCAAACGACUAAAAUUUUUUAGGUAAAAGCUCUAUUAAUAAAUACUCUAAUUAAAUAAAUUUUACUAGAAAAGUUGUACCAAACGGAGCCUACAAUAAUGAUAAUAUUUCCUUAUUGAGUUAGAAUAAUUUUAGAUUUUUAUAAUAUAUGUAAGGUUAUAUAAAGAAUAGUAUUAAAUAUAAAUGAUAAUAAGGAUAAUUUUGGCUUUUACCUAUCGUACGCUUGGCACAACUGAUUUCUACACCCCGAUUAUCGCUGCCGUUUCAUAUUAAUUAAUAGGAAAUAAUGUUGUUAAAGUGGGUGGUCGCUUCGCAGGAUUCGUACAAAAUGUGAACGAAGAAGAGAAUUUCCCAAGAAAACUGUCAGUAAAAGUUAAAGGAUUCAAGACUAGAGAUGCUAAGCUACAUACGUACAAAGUAAUAAUAAUAAUAAUGGAAGACAAAACAUAUACAUAUUAAUAGACUUGUUGACUAGUAAAUUUUUUAAACGGAUGAUGAUACUAAUAACUAAUAUUCAAACCAGAAUAAUGUUACCAAUAAAGUAGGUGGAAGGUUCGCAUGAUUCACGAUCAUUGGUACUGAAAUGUGAACGAAGGGAAUUUUACAAGAUUUGCUCUUACUCUAUUCGAUCUUUUUAUUAAUCAAAUUUCUAUGUAGAUGACAUAUAAUGAUAAUAAAAGGCUAAAAUAUUGUUUUCGUAGAAGACUAUUGACAUCAGUGAAGACUCUGUUGUUGAUAUACAAGUAUUAAUUGGCCUGGAUUCCUGAGGUUUCAGAUAUCAAGCAUUGAAAACAAAUAUUCACAAUGUCAUCCAAAUGGUUCCUUUUACUUCAAUAUAUAGCUUUCUGUUCUGUGAUUUUGUUUCAACCGCAGCCAAGAGUUGUAAUUGCAGAUUCUAACAAGACAAGGUGCAUAGAUGAGGAGAGAGAGGCACUUCUCACUUUCAAAGCUAGCCUGGUGGAUGAAUCUGGCAUUUUGUCUUCAUGGAGACGAGAAGAUGAGAAAAGAGACUGUUGUAAAUGGACAGGUGUCGGCUGUAGCAAAAGAACCGGCCAUGUAAACAAGCUUGAUCUUCAACCAAUCGGUUUUGACUCAUUUCCUUUGAGAGGUAAAAUUACUCCCGCUUUGCUCAAAUUGCAACAUUUAACUUACUUGGACCUCAGUCGGAAUAAUUUCAGUGGAAGUUCAAUUCCCGAGUUCCUUGGUUCCCUCGGCAAAUUGAGCUAUCUCGGUCUCUCUAGUGCUGAGUUUGCUGGACCAAUUCCUCAUCAGCUUGGAAACCUUUCAAGGUUGCAAUUUCUUGACCUCAGCUUCAAUAAUUUGUUUAGUGGUGAGAAUCUUGAUUGGCUUUCUCAUCUUUCUUCUUUAAUUUAUCUUUACUUGGAUUUGAACGAUCUCAGUAAUUUCAGCAACUGGGUUCAACUACUCAGCAAGCUCCAUUCCCUAACAACCUUGUCCUUGUACUCGUGUGAUCUUCCACCAAUCAUUCCUUCAUCUCUUUUGAACCUCAAUUCUAGUAAUUCUCUUGAGGUUAUUGAUCUCACCGAAAACAAUCUCACGAAUUCAGUAUACCCUUGGUUGUUCAAUGUUAGUAGCAGUCUUGUUGAUCGUAUAAGCCUUCCUUCUAACCAAUUACAAGGUUCAAUCCCAGAAGCUUUUGGACGCAUGGUGUCUCUCAGAUAUCUCGAUCUCUCUUCUAAUGAAUUGAGAGGGAUUCCAAAAUUUCUUGGAAAUAUGUGCGGUUUAAAAAUAUUAUACUUGUCUGGCAAAGAACUCAAAGGGCAGCUCUCUGAGUUCAUUCAAGAUUUGUCUAGUGGCUGCACAAAGAACUCACUGGAGUGGCUGCAUUUAUCUUCCAAUGAAAUCACAGGGUCAAUGCCUAAUCUCGGAGAAUUUUCAUCUUUGAAACAAUUGAAUCUUGAAAAUAAUCUUUUAAACGGGACUAUACACAAAAGCAUUGGCCAAUUGUUCAAGCUUGAGAUGUUGAAACUUAAUGGAAAUUCACUCGGAGGUGUCAUCUCCGAAGCUUUGUUUUCAAAUCUUUCCAGGUUAGCGGCAUUGGACUUGGCAGAUAACUCAUUGACGUUGGAAUUUAGCCAUGAUUGGAUUCCACCUUUUCAACUGAAUACUAUAUCUCUUGGCCAUUGCAAGAUGGGGCCUCGUUUUCCAAAAUGGCUUCAAACUCAGAGUCAAAAAUUUUUCGCUUGAUAUCUCGAAUGCCAAAAUCACAGAUACUGUCCCAAAUUGGUUUUGGGAUCUUACUCAUCAACGAAUGCUUUUAAAUCUCUCAAGCAACCAGAUGAGAGGUAAAGUUCCAGAUUUGUCUUUGAGAUUUGAUAUUUCUGGUCCUGGUAUUGAUAUUAGCUCAAACCACUUUGAGGGUCCAAUUCCACCACUUCCUUCAAAUGCUACAUCCCUAAAUCUCUCCAAAAAUAAAUUUUCAGGAUCCAUUUCCUUCCUAUGUUCCCUCAGUAACAGAUUAAUAUAUCUUGAUCUCUCAAAUAACUUACUAUCAGGAAAGCUUCCUGAUUGUUGGUUCCAAUUCGAUAGCCUUGUCAUUCUUAAUUUGGCUAACAAUAACUUUUUUGGUAAAAUACCAAACUCAAUGGGCUUCCUACAUAAUAUCCGGUCAUUGAGUUUGUACAACAGUAACUUAACUGGCGACUUGCUUUCAUUUCUAUGAAUUUCUCACAACUGACACUCAUGGAUCUUGGGAAGAAUAGAUUAUCAGGAGAGAUACCCACAUGGAUAGGUGAAAGCCUUCCGAAAUUGGUCGUUCUCAGUUUAAAAUCUAACAAUUUCCAUGGAAAUAUACCCUUUCAGUUAUGCCAUCUAUCCUACAUUCAAAUCUUGGAUAUUUCUUCAAACAAUAUAUCGGGAACCAUUCCCAAGUGUUUCCACAAUUUUACCGCCAUGACUCACACAACAAGUUCCAAUCGCUCCAUUACCUCCUACUAUCACUACAAUCUUGGCGAUGAAAACGUGCAAAUGCCGGGAAUCUAUUUUGACACAACAUAUUUGACAUGGAAAGGAAGUCAAUACGAGUACAAAAGUACUCUGGGACUUGUAAAGAUCCUCGACCUUUCAAGUAAUAAGUUAGGUGGAGGAGUUCCUAAAGAGAUUAUGGACCUUGUGGGAUUGGUUGCCUUGAACCUUUCGAGAAACAAUUUAACUGGACAAAUCACUCCAAAGAUUGGUCAGUUAAAAUCAUUGGAUUUCCUCGAUUUGUCUAGAAAUCAGUUUUUUGGCGGCAUUCCUUCAAGCCUUUCUCAGUUAAGUGGUCUCAGUGUCAUGGACUUGUCAUACAACAACUUGUCGGGCAAAAUUCCAUUGGGCACUCAACUCCAAAGCUUCAAUGAAUUGGUGUAUGCUGGAAAUCCUGAACUUUGCGGCCUCCCACUUCGAAAUAAGUGUCCGGAUGAAGACUCAGCUCCAAGUCCAGAGAGAGAUGAUGCAAACACUCCAGAAGGGGAGGAUCAGUUGAUAACUUUUGGGUUCUACGUGAGUGUGAUUCUUGGUUUCUUUAUUGGAUUCUGGGGAGUCUGCGGCACUUUACUGGUGAAUACUUCGUGGAGACAUGGUUACUUCAAAUUCCUAACCAGUGUGAAAGAUUGGGUCUAUCUGAUAACAGUUGUGAAUAUUGCCAAACUGCAAAGAAGGUUCAGGGAUUAAACGGUAAUACUCAUUCACAUGUUAAGUGGGUUUAAUUUAUGAUAUAGUUGGCUCACUUCUUAUUGCUUCACAUAUUUUUCUUUCCCAAACUGAUGCCUCCUUUUUUGGUUUCUUUGCUUUCACUGGUUCUUGCAGGAGCAAUUAAAUCUGUCUCUCAGAUGGCAUUCCGUCUUUCUUGCUCGGAGUUUACGUUCCAGGGUCAAAAGCUUUGUAACUAAUGUGUGCUUGAAGGAGCUUGUAUAUUGUUCUGUUUAGCCCAUGUUCUACUCUUACACAUAAGCUUUGGCGAACGUUUGAAAUGUAACCCGUCGUCAAAUUGUCCUCUGUUAUGGAUCAAUAUGUUUUAUUUUCAAUUUGCUUGGGUGAAUAAACCUUUUGAUUAUUGCUGAGUACAAAUCAGCUCUCAUGCUUUCUGCUGACUAUAAGCAUAUCUUAAAGUGUAAUUUCGAAUAUCAAACUGUUUUCAACUGAUUUUGGGGUAGGAAAAUCCAAAAUCAAUCUAGAACAAUAAAUUUAUAUUUUUGGGGGAGAUGGGGUACCUCACUAGUUUAUUUUGUGCGGUGCGGUGUAUCUGAAAUUCGGGGGAGGUGAGAGGGGGAGAAAGAGUGGUAACAAUGGUGAAAGGUCAGAAACGAGAGAGGUGUCCUUCCAAAUGAGUUUCACGCCUGCAAAACAGUGAAAUAGAGGUUAGAGGUGAAGCCGGGGUACCCCGGCGUUCACACUCCGACGCUCAAGUUAGCAAACUCAAGCUUUAAUGGUAAAGAGAGCUGGCCAGCCCUCUGUAAAUUUAGGGUUUAAGGUUGAAGAAAACCUAUUUUUUGGAGUGUGAGUGUUAAUGGUGAGUGAGAGCCUGGUGGAGAGUGAAACCUAGGCGCCUUUAUAUAUGGAGUACCUUAGCUGCCACGUGGCGUACCCCUUUUUGGCUAACGUCCUUUUACCUCUUUAUAAUUUUUUGGGCCGUUAUCUGCAUGUUCGCGGCAUAUCUCAUCUUUUGGAAACGUGGCGCGCGCUGGAGAGUGGUCCGGGGUACCUCUGCAGUAGCUGUCGGGUAGGCGGCUAGGGACCACUGUCCUUGGAACAGUGUCCUUCACUUUUGGCAGAGGUGGCAGGCGGCUGUCCCUCCUUUUAGCACGUCAUUUUUUAUCCUUAAUUCUGACAAAAUCGAAUAAUAUCUUUUAGGAGGCGGAGGCGUUUCUCAUGGCGGAUAUUUUUUGGAGAUACCUCGAGUUACGUGGGGUACCUCUAAUUGUACGAGGUACCUCUAUUUGUGUGGGGUACCUCUAUUUGUGUGGAGUACCUCUAAUUAUGCGGGGUACCUCAAAUUGUGCCGGAUUCAUUCCAUUGGUUGACACGUGGCGCUCUAUUGACUUUCCUAUUUUUCCCUCAAACAACAUCCCCCUAGUUUCUUUUUGGCGAGAAGUAUUGGAGGCAAAAGAAACUCAUUGUAUGAGUGACACAUGGCGACGCGGCUGGACCGGAGGGUACCUUGCUUAGCUUCUUUCCUUGACUAAACUUUGUGUACUUCAAACUAAAAAUUUUCUCUUUGUCUAUUCCUUUUCCCGCUUUUUUUUUUUUUUUGACGAUGAGAAUGAACAGUUUUCUUCAUGUGUCUUUUUCCUUUUUCUUGGGAAGUGGCAGUCGUCUGACAUGUAGUUUGAAUUUUGAAAAUAUCAAUCUCACACAAACAUCCAUGAAUUCUUUUCUCGGGCAGCGUGUUCUGUCAGGUUGAAUUAAAACUCCUGACUUGUGUCAAUCUUCUCUCACUUAUUUUGAAAAUCCCCAAACGAACUCCCAAAAUUUAAUUUUUUCCAGUAGCCUUUUUCUUCUAUAAUUUCGUCUCUUCUUCUAACUGCAUCAACAUUAUCACAGGUAAAAACAAAAAUUUCUUUACUCUUUUUUUUUUUUUUACUUUCGUUCGUCUUCCCCUAGGUUUUAUUCUUUCUUCCCUCUUUUUCUUUCUGCUGUACCGUACAUCCGCCUUGGCCGUACAGCAGGGCCGCUCAACUGUUCGAGCGCAAUGCAGUUUUCUCUUCUUUUCCUUUCUUCUUUCUUCUUUUUUUUUCCUUUCUCUUUCUCUCUCGGUCGGCGUUGAUCCGGUGCGUUUUCCGGCGUGGACCUCGGCUGCUGCAGUGGCGGUUUUGGGCUCCAGAUCUGGUCGGUUCAAGGCGAUUUUUCGGCGUCUCACGGCGAGAUCUUGGUCCGGUGAUACACACGGUAAACCUCCCUCCUUGUGUCUUCAUUUUAUCUUGCGUUCUCUCUCUUAUUUCUCUCUUUUUUGCGAUCUUCAGCGCCGGAUUUGGUGGUUGCAGCCAUGGCAGCCGGUUCUUCUUAAUGGUUGUAGCUUCUCAGUUUUCUCUUCUUCUUUCUCUUUUUUUUUUGUUUCGAUCGGUGCUUUUCUCUGUGAUUUCCGGCGUCGGUUUGGUGUGGUUGCAGUCCCCCCUUCCGUGUUGUCUUCUCUGUUCUUCAUUUUUCUUUUUUUUUUUUGGCCGGCGUCCUCCUUUGGUGGUUUCCGGCAUCCUUCUCGUGAUCUCCAGCGUCGGUUCUCGGUGGUUGCAGCCAUGACAGCCGACGCCGGUUGCUGCAGCUUCUUCGUUCUUCAUUUUAUUUAUUCAUUUAUUUAUAAAUAACUAUAUAUAUUUAAGCUUAUUUUUAUUUUUAUACUUGCAUAUUUUUACCCACUAUUUUUGGUUGCCUGCAGCUUCAUUUCGCCGCGAUUAUCAAUCCCGAUCUGCUAAAUUGGUGAAUCACAGGUAUCCCUCCUCGCUUCUCCUCCUUUGGCGCAUUCACAGUGACCCUAUUUUGCAUACUCUGAGAAAAUUUUAUUUUUGGUUUUUUGUUGUUUUUUGUUUUGUUGGUUGGUGUUUGCAUUUGGUGGUUGAUGUGUGGUGGAUGGUGCUUGGUAUGGAUAUAUUGCUGUUUGGAAAACAUGUGGCUUGUGGAUGUGUUGUUGGGUGUAUCGUUUGAAAGGGAUGGUUUGUCGCUGAGGGUAAGUGGGGGACAGAGACUCUGGGUGAGAAGGGCGACCCCGUGGAGGUUCCCCAUUCAUUCAAUGUAAACUGUAAGUAUCUCCCUUACUUAUGGUUCUUUAUCAGAAUCUUUCGCCUGAAUGUCUCGCUAACCUUGAGUUCUUUAUGCUUUCGCAGGUGUGACAUGGGCUAAAGGAUCAUGCCCAGUUCAGGAGGUGGGGAGAGAGGUGAAGAAAUUUGUGGACAGGCUUCGAGGUGCACAAAGGGGUAGUGAUGUGCUAGAUGAGAGCCGAUUAUGGAGAGCGGGGCUGAUUGACCGAAGUCCUCCGCCUGCUCCUGGGGGUGACUCAUGUAUGAUUUGGGUGUCGGGGGGUAUCCUAUUGUUACUUAUGGGACUGGGGUACCCCAUUAUCAUUGCAUUCUUCGUUUCGCUUCCCCGCUUUCCAUUUCCUAUUUUUUACUUUUGCAGUACUUAGUACUUGUCCAGCUAACAUAACUUUUGUGCAUUGGGUGCAGUCAUGGAAUCGACGGGUGAUGCUUUUGACGCCUUCUUCCAAGCGGUGGUUACCUCCAAGGUUGCUGAAGAGGUUGACAAGAUGAGCUUGAGCCAGCGUUACGGUCAAGCACUUAGGGCUACCCAAGAGGUAGGCUUUCUCGGGGUACCCCGGGUGUACUCUUCAUCAUUUUCUUUUUACUUAUUUAAUCUUUUUGUCAUAUACAUAUAUUUAACAUGUCUUUCAUGACCCGCAGGCAUCCUUUCUCCUAAGCCACUGCCUUCCGGAUCUCAACUCCCUUGUUGUCGCACAGUCAGAGGUCGACAAGUUAAGGAGUGAGCUUCAAAGCCGUCAAUCUCGUGAGGAUCAGCUCGCUCGAGAAGUUAAAACUCUACAAGAAUGCAUUGCUGGCCUAUCGGGAGAGAAAGCUAGGGUGGAGAAGGAUUGUGAGGAGUUGAGGGCCACUAACGGGGAUCUGAUAUCUCGGCAAAAGACGAUGGCGGAGGAUGCAUUCUCACUCAUCAUGACGGAGGUGUGGAGUGUGGAUCCGGAGUUGGAGGUACCCCGGGUGCAGAAAUUUGUCAACAAGGCUACGAUUCUAAAGACAAUUGCAGAGAGGAAGAAGCCUUCCCAACCACGGUCGGGUACCCCUUCCGGGUCGCCUAGGGUACCCCAUCAGCUUCAGCUGUUGCCUGCUUCGGAUGCCCCUACUUCGGCUGCUCAUAUUCCGGGUACCUCGGAGUCCUCUGCUGAUCUCCCUCUGGAGACGGAUGUUGGGGAUGGCGUUCCCCCCUCGGUGUAGCCUUCUCACUAUGCUCUUGUUUUUUCGGACCUAUCCACAUUUUGCUAUUUGGACCUUGUUUCUUUCUUUUUGGUUUCUCGGGAUAUUUUGUAUUAUUGGGACUUCUCUUUUGUUAUGAUACCAUGCCAUCGAGUUCUCUUGUACUUUGUAUGCUUGUUAUUCUGCCAAUGAAUGCUUGACUAAACUGUUACCUUGUAAAUGUCUAGGGUACCUCUCAUUUUUUUUGAAAUGGGGUACCCCUGGUACCUUAACAAAUAUCCAACAUCAUGGGGAUUCCCUACAAAUGUGGUGCAUGUCCUUCUCAGAAACUAUGGCGGAUUCCCCACAAAUAGGUAAUCAAAAUAUCAUCGCAACAUCUCGAUCAAACGUUGAAAGCUACAAAUGUGGUGCAUGUCCUUCUCGNNNNNNNNNNNNNNNNNNNNNNNNNNNNNNNNNNNNNNNNNNNNNNNNNNNNNNNNNNNNNNNNNNNNNNNNNNNNNNNNACAUCUCGAUCAAACGUUGAAAGCGCAAUUGGUCCAACCAAUCACUUUCUUAUUCUUUCGAAGUUUUCUCUGAAUUUUUUAAAUAGCCUACCCCAUACUUUGUAAAAGUACGAGGACGGAGGUGUGGGUGUUCUCAUACCUAAGCCGAACUUCGUGCCGCUAGGGUAUGCCGGUUUUUCUUCACCCUCGGGUCCUCUUUGACCCUCCAUUUCUUUGUCUAGGUAGCUUUAUCAUGCUUCCGCAGAAAGGCUACCCCCGGGCUGUUCCCUUCGUUGCCCAUCUUGGGUUUACAUAGAUCGUCACGAUCUAGGCAUAUCAGGUACCCUGGCUGGUCCUGUGAUAAGUUAGUCAUAAUUGACAAACGUAUGGCGAGAAUUGCAUAUUACCAGAUGCGAGGGUAUAUUAAUGGCGAUAAAUGAAUAUAAUCCGCACUCUAAGAUCGAAGUGGAGAAAAAUAAAUAAAGAACCCACACCAUAUUUGUUGAGAAAGAACAUGCAUUUAUAGAUAACGAAAGCGUUGAUCAAUACAUGACUUAGCUUUGUUACCCUGAUGAGAAUGGGAGACCGCAAGACCUCCUAUCCCUUUCAUUUGACAAUUAAAGAAACUCUAAAGUUGCAACUGACCAACAUAGGGCAUUUGGGGUACCCCAUUUGGCCUACCACACAAAAACAUUAAAGAAAGCAAAUAACAGCAAAAGACUAAAGGUUGAGACACUGUCCUUUAGUAAUAUUUCCGUAGCAUUGCAGCGUUCCAGGGGUGCCUCACAAUUGUGCCAUCCAUGUGGAGUAGCCUGUAUGCACCUGUCCCAACGGGUUUGUCGAUGCAGUAAGGUCCUUCCCAAUUUGCCCCAAAAGCACCUUCGCAGGGUACCCUAGUGUUAUGAGUUACCCUUCUCAAGACCAAGUCUCCUUUCUUGAAGGAUCGAGGGCGUACCCUUUUUUCAUAUAGACCCGAAAUGCGAUGCUGAUAUAUGGUUGUCCUCAGUUCUGCUCUAGCCCUUUUUUCAUCCACCAAAUCAAGGUUUGAAGCAACCAAUGAGGUGUUCUCGGCCUCAUCGAAGUAUUCAACCCUGUGAGAGGGUACCCCGAUUUCUGCUGGAAUCACUGCGUCAACACCGAAUGCGAGGGAAAACGGGGUCUCCCUAGUGGAGGUGUUUUGAGUAGUCCGGUAUGCCCACAGUACGCCAGGUAGCUCGUCUACCCAUGCUCCCUUUCUUUCUUCUAGCUUCUUCUUCAGGAUACCUUUGAUAAUCUUGUUAACGGCUUCGACUUGCCCAUUAGAUUGGGGGUGGGCAGGUGUAGCAAAUCGGUUGGCUAUCCCCAACUCCGAACAAAAGCUUCAAAAUUUUUCAUUAUCAAAUUGCUUACCGUUAUCACUGAUAAUUGCAUAGGGGAUUCCAAAUCUGCAAAUGAGGUUCUUCCAAAUGAAUUCGGUGGUUUUCCUUUCUGUGAUGCUUGUUAGUGGCUCCGCUUCCGCCCAUUUUGUAAAAUAAUCUACCGCCACGAUUGCAUGUUUUGCUUGCCCCUUCCCGGUAGGUAACGGGCCAAUGAGGUCCACUCCCCACAUAGUGAAGGGCCAAGGAGAAGAUAUAACUGUUAGCUUCUCUGGGGGUAGGUGGGGUACCCUAGCGAACCUCUAGGAGAUCAAUGCUGGGGGCGGGUAUGUGUUCUAUUGUGAUGGGGCCAGCUGACUGAGCUACACCAAGGGACGCCAUUUUUGCUAGGGUAUCAGCUUCGCUGUUCUCCAGUCGAGGUACCCUUUCCACUUUAACCUCGCAAAAUUGGGAUAUCAACUCUCUGGUUUUUUCGAGGUACCCCUUCAUGUUUUCCUCUUUCGCUUGAUAUUGUGCGGUAAUCUGGCUUACCACCAACUGUGAGUCACUCUUGACGUGUACCCUUUUUGCUCCCAAAGCCUUUGACAUCCUCAACCCCGCUAUGAUUGCCUCGUACUCGGCUUCGUUGUUUAAGGCCUUGAAUCCGAAUUGUAGGGCGUAGCAUAAUUUCACCUUGUUCGGGUCGAUUAUAAUAACUCCCACGCCACUUCCGUGCGAGUUAGAGGAACCAACCACAUAUAUUUUCCAGACCUGCUCCUCUUCAUCGGUAGGUGGGGUAUCUAACAGGUAUCUCAAAUCACAUUCACCACUUGAGUCAUUGGCGAAUUCCGCAAUGAAAUCAGCAAUGGCCUGAGCUUUAAUCGCCGAACGAAGCUUGAAGAUGAUGUCGAACUCGCUUAAUUCGAGGGACCAUCGGAGAAGCCUUCCGGACAUGUCUAACUUCUGAAGGAUUUGCCGGAGGGGAAGGUUGGUGACGACUGCAAUGGUGUGAGCCUGAAAAUAUGGUCUGAGCUUCCGUGCGGAGACAACCAAUGCCAAAAUGAUCUUCUCAGAGGUGGGGUACCUCUUUUCGGCAUCAACCAUAGCCUUACUAGUGUAGUAAAUAGGUCGUUGUACCCCAUUAUCAUCCUCUCGGAGUAACACAGAGCUGGUGGCAUGCUCGGAUACGGCGAGAUAUAGCAGCAGCACCUCUCCCGGCUCAGGUUUGGCAAGUAGUGGAGCAUUCACGAGGUACCCCUUCAGUUCUUGGAAAGCCUCUUCACAAUCGGGUGUCCAUUGGAGCUUUUUAUCGGUCUUCAAAGCUUUGAAAAAGGGCUUACACCGGUCGGUAGCCUUGGAGAUAAAGCGGCUCAGAGCAGCUACCCGGCCUGCCAAGCUUUGAACCUCCUUGAUGGUGCUUGGCAAUUUCAUGUCAAGAAUUGUGCGAAUUUUAUCGGGGUUGGCUUCAAUCCCCCGUUGUUGUACCAUGAACCCGAGAAACUUUCCUGAGGUUACCCCGAAUGCACAUUUUUCAGAGUUAAGCCGCAUCUGAUGUUUUCUCAAAACGGUAAAGGUAUCUCUGAGGUGCCCCAGGUGUUCCCCCGCAUGCACCGAUUUGGUGAUCAUGUCGUCUAUGUACACCUCCAUGGUGCGCCCGAUUUGUUCUUUGAAAAUUUUGUUCACUAGCCGCUGAUAGGUAGCCCCGGCAUUCUUCAAACCAAACGGCAUAACCUUAUAACAGUAUAACCCCCGGUUGGUGAUGAAGGCUGUUUUCUCUUGAUCGGGUUCGUACAUCGGGAUUUGGUUGUACCCGGAGAAGGCAUCCAUAAAACUAAGCAUUUCAUGCCCAGCUGUUGCAUCAACCAGCUGGUCCACCCGAGGAAGCGGGAAGCUAUCCUUGGGGCAGGACUUAUUCAAGUCGGUGAAGUCCACGCACAUGCGCCACUUUCCGUUUGAUUUCUUGACAAGAACAACGUUGGACACCCAAUCGGGGUACACUGCUUCCCGAAUAAACCGUGCUGCUAAUAGGCGGUCUACCUCUUGUUCAAUUGCAUCGUACCUCUCUUGAUUGAAGGCGCGACGCUUCUAUUUGACCGGUUUAUUAUGCGGGCUGACAUUGAGUUUGUGACAAGAGAGAGAAUGUGGGAUACCCGGCAUAUCCGAGUGGGACCAAGCAAAUACAUCGAGAUGCUCACAUAGGAAGGUGAUGAGUUUCUCCCUUUGUUCCUCCGAGAGGUUGGAGCCUACUUUCAUUGUCUUUGUUGGGUCGGUGGCGCAAAUCGAGACUGAAAUAAGAUCUUCAAUUAGGGUACCCCGCAUUUCAUCUUUCAAUAUUCGGGGAUCCAAAGGUGCCUCAACUUCACAUCUGGGCUCCUCUUGGUCCCCAUGGGGUACCUUGGAGCUAUCCCUCGUAACUGCUUCCAUCCCCCUUAGUGAAAACUCCAACUUUUCUCGUGGGUGGGCUACUUGAGGAGAUUUUUUCAGUACUGUUCUCCGCUGUCUAGCAAGUGCUCGCUUUGAGGGGGAAGGUGUGGGCUGGCUGCCACUAGGGUACCCCUUCAUUGGCGGAUCUGAAGCUAUUUGGUAAGUGACUUUGGAGCUAGGGUACCCCUUCAUUGGCGAAUCUGAAGCUAUUUGGUAAGUGACUUUGGAGGCCAUGGAAUAACAUCCACGAGCCGAUUGCUGGUCCCCUUUAAUGGUGAUCUGCUCUUGGGCGGCCGGGAUUUUCAUGGCGAGGUAGUACAUGGAUACCACCGCUUUAGUUGCUACUAAGAACGGCCUACCCAAUAUAAUAUUGUAGGCACCCGGGUGAUCUACAAUAAGAAAAUCAAUCAUAUGAACAACACGGUGAGGUACCUUACCAAGUGUAACGGGCAGCGUAAUGAUGCCUUUUGGUAUAACCAUAUCUCCGGCGAACCCAAUAAGAGGCGUAGCAUAUGGGGUGAUCUUUAGCGACUCAAUCAAUAGUUGAUCCAAGGCGCUUUUGAAAAUGAUGUCAACGGAGCUACCGGUAUCUACGAGAGUUCUUGCUACCUUACCAGUGGCAACCUUCAACGUAAUUACGAAGGCAUCAUCGUGGGGGUACGAGAUGCCCUCCGCAUCUUUUUCUGUAAAAAGGAUAGGCGGGGGAUGGUGGGGUACCUUCGGUGUACCCCAUUCAUUAAGGUUGACUUCUCUGCCCAUAUUGGUGGUUAUCGACAACGAUCUACCAUAGCCUUUGAUAGCCCUCCUAGAUUGGCCCGCUAAAGUCGGUCCGCCCAUGAUCAUUCGGACAUACACGCCUUUCUUGUGUCCAGGGGGUACCUCUCGUUCGGGACUGCCAUCAGCUACCCGCUUGCCUUUAUCCUGUUCCGCAGAUUUCCGAGCUUCUCUCAUGCCAGCAACAAAUUCUUUGAGGUACCCGCUAAGAAUCAAAGAUUCAAUUUCUUCUCGCAAGGUGAAGCACUCGGCUGUGCUGUGACCAAAGUCCUCAUGGAACUCGCAAUACUUCAGGCUACGCUUCAUGUUGGGGUACUUCUUCAUUGGCUUAGGAGGAGUAACCAAACGUCCCUUGUAUUUUCGUGGCCAGAGCAGCUUGAUCUGGCGAAAUCAGCACUGAAGCCCCAAAAUCAGCCACUUUUGCUAUAUACUUGUCAUCCAAAAGUAAGUUGGAGGAUUUUACAUCUCCGUGAAUUAUUGGGGGGCUUGCUAAAGAAUGGAAAUAGUCAAGAGCUGAAGCAAUUUCGGCCGCGAUCCUAAGACACAUUUUCCAAGUUCUUAACGCCUGCGAACUCUUAUCAUGGAUAUAGUGAGAUAUAGUUUCAUUGGAAACAAAUUCAUAAACCAGUAGAGGCACUUUGGUUUGCAAACAUAGCCCUAAAAUCUUGACCACAUUCUUAUGGUUUAUUCGUGACACAAUACCCAUUUCCUUCGAAAUUCCUGAUUUAUCCGAAUUUUUUCUAACUCUUUAGGCUUCUUCACUGCAAUUUGGAUAUUGUCAGGUAAGACACCUUUGUAAACAGAGCCAAAACCACCUUCACCUAGAAAGUGGCUUUCAUUAAAAUUUUCGGUAGCUUUAACUAGCUCUGCGGCACUGAAAAUCCUCACUGACUGAUGCUUUAGUAUCUCACCACCAUUUUUUAAGAAGUUUUUCUGCUUUCUUCGUUCUAUACAUCCAAUGAAAAUUAAAAUUCCUAGAAUCACACUGAAUAUAACUGCUCCAAUAACUGAACAUGUUAAAAAGAAAAGAAUUAUAUAACGUAUAAUUAUAUAUGGAAAGGAAAAUGAUCCAUUAUAAGCAGCAUUCCAACUUCAUGCCCAAUCUCAAAGGAUUUUAACAUUGAAAUUUAAAAGCUUCACUUUACCUUUCUUGUAUUACUCAUUUUACCAGCUAAAUCAUCAUUUGGCAAAUACGAUGCAUAAAAUCAUUAACAUAUUAGGUACCGUGUAUCAAACUGUCAUAGAAUCUGAAAAAAUAAUUACUGUCAUGUAUCUUAAAAGGGAGAGACGACAAAACACAAACACUAAAAAAAUCUAGAUGACAAACAAUAAUAAUAAAAAUGACAAAAACAAUACUUACAGAUAAAUAAAUAAUAAAAGAAGCAAUAGAAAAUUUAGAAAGAGGACAUCAGUCAUCACCUGCAACAAUAGUGGUGAUAUGAAAUCCCCGACAAUCGGACAAUCGCAUGUAUAACUCCCAAUUGUGUUCCUACACUUCCCUUCACAAUGGUACUUUUCUUUAUCUAGGCAUUCAUUAAUGUCUGUCACACGUGCAUAAGGUGACACAUUUUUAAUGUAAAAAUUAAAGAACACUGAGAUUUAGACGGCAUGAGGCGACAAACUUUUAAUAACAAAAUUAAAGGAUACUGAUAUUUGGACCACGAAAUUAAAUAAAACGCUGACAAAAACAAUAUACAACCCCAAGAGAGUUUAGGUAUUUAAUUUUCCAACAUAAUUAACUCCGCAUCGGUUUUAGUCGGUGUUUUAUUGAUAUUUAGCCUCUUUAUAAUUUCUGUGAAUAAAAUGACUGAUUAUUAGUUAAAACAAAUAAAAAGAGAGGAAUCGAAGAAACAUACCAACACAUCCUAGAUAGGGGUUUCCUGAAAUCCUUGCUUGCAUUUGCAACGAUACCCUUUGCCAUUUUCAGAGUAAUAACAAUUAGUAUUAUCACCGCAGCCAUCAACUUUUGAAUUUGGAUCAUCCGGGCAAUUCUUUUCUUCAACUACCCAUGCAAUUGUAACAUUUGAACUUGACUUAUCUUCAGAGGCUCGAAAUUCUGCUAUAUUGAAGGUUUCGUCUGCUAAGAGUGCAUAAUCACACCGCAUGAACUCUCCCAUAUCCUCGUGAUUAUGUACGCUACGAAGAGUGAGUUCCAACGACUUGAGACUUUUGGGUAAUGGAGUCUGGGGUAUUGGGGUAUCUGAGGCAUGGCGAACGCCUCGGGGAGAGCUGCUGUCCUAAUCUCCAUAGUGAAUGGCGAUUUGUAGGUCAUUGGCGUUGGUGCAGCUGUGAUGUUUUGCUUCUCGGAGAGGAGCUUCACUUGGGCUUCCAGGUUCUCCAUCUUUUCCACAAGUUCAAGGGGUACCCUCGGUGUACCUGAUGAUGUCGCCACCAUUUGAGAAGCCCUUUUGGCGUUUAACUUCUCACGGAGAUCCUCGUGGGUACGCUUUGCACGCCUCGUACCCUGGCUACUGCGGGAAUUACAAGAGGCGGUGGAACGCUCGUCGCGGGAGCCCAUGGUUUGAAACUUAGAACGGGUACCCGAUGGCCUAAGCUUUGGCUUGCUGGCCUCGGGUACCCCUCUUCUGACCAUAGCUUGGUCGUCCGUUUGAGGUGGUGGAGCUUCUAGCGUCACUGGUGGAAGUGAACUUUCGGGUGCCCGAGAUCCGACCGCCCUAAGUAUUGCGUGGGCAAGAUCCUCAAAACGCUUGUGCGAAAUAGGUUCUUCUUCUUGGCGAACACCCGUCGAUUGCUUGACACCCUUGCCCUUACUGAUGCGGGCUACCCUUCUCGCGGGAUCACUACCUUCACUGUUGUUGUCCUCACUCAUCCUUGUAGGAUCCCCCAUUAAACCUUCGGGAGGUACGUCAGGUGCCAUGUAUUGGAGUACACACAACAACUAGUUUGGUAACUGUGGAGGAGGCUUUUUGUGCGUCUCCCCACAGGCGGCGCCAAUUGUUUUCAACUGAUUUUGGGGUAGGAAAAUCCAAAAUCAAUCUAGAACAAUAAAUUUAUAUUUUUGGGGGAGAUGGGGUACCUCACUAGUUUAUUUUGUGCGGUGCGGUGUAUCUGAAAUUCGGGGGAGGUGAGAAGGGGAGAAAGAGUGGUAACAAUGGUGAAAGGUCAGAAACGAGAGAGGUGUCCUUCCAAAUGAGUCUCACGCUUGCAAAACAGUGAAAUAGAGGUUAGAGGUGAAGCCGGGGUACCCCGGCGUUCACACUCCGACGCUCAAGUUAGCAAACUCAAGCUUUAAUGGUAAAGAGAGCUGGUCAGCCCUCUGUAAAUUUAGGGUUUAAGGUUGAAGAAAACCUAUUUUUUGGAGUGUGAGUGUUAUUGGUGAGUGAGAGCCUGGUGAAGAGUGAAACCUAGGCGCCUUUAUAUAUGGAGUACCUUAGCUGCCACGUGGCAUACCCCUUUUUGGCUAACGUCCUUUUACCUCUUUAUAAUUUUUCGGGUCAUUAUCUGCAUGUUAGCGGCAUAUCUCAUCUUUUGGAAACGUGGCGCGCGCUGGAGAGUGGUCCGGGGUACCUCUGCAGUAGCUGUCGGGUAGGCGGCUGGGGACCACUGUCCUUGGGACAGUGUCCUUCACUUUUGGCAGAGGUAGCAGGCGGCUGUCCCCCCCUUUUGAUACGACGUUCUUGAUUCCUAAUUCUGACAAAAUCAAAUAAUAUCUUUUAGGAGGCGGAGACGUUUCUCAUGGCGGAUAUUUUCGGCGGAUUCUCUUACAUCCGCUUUGCCGGGUACCUCGAGUUACAUGGGGUACCCCCUAUUACGCGGGGUACCCCUAUUUGUAUGGGGUAUCUCUAUUUGUGUGGGAUACCUCUAUUUAUACGGGGUACCUCUAUUUAUACGGGGUACCUCUAUUUAUACGGGGUACCUCAAGUCAUGCUGAGCACCUCGGAUUAUGCAAGGUACCUCCGAUUAUGCUGAAAUCAUUCCAUUGGCUGACACGUGGCGCUCUAUUACCUUUCCUAUUUUCCCUCAAACACAAACUGAUGUGAUGCGCCCCUGCUCAGCAAGAUAGGAUAUUUCUGGGUUCUAGCAUGCUCAACUCGGCUGGAAUCUCAUUCUCCCACUUAAAUUUAUGUAGACCUUUGAUGUGUAUACAAGGCAUUUCAAUUAUGGAUCAGUUUUAUUAUUGAAAUUGUGCAACUGUAGUUUAAAAAUUAUAAUAUUAAAGUGUUUGAUAAAUACUAACUGCAGUAUCUUAGAAAUUAUGUUUAUAUGAUUUUUCACUUUUAUUAUUUAAAUAUUAUAUUUACUAUAUAUUAUUAAUUUUUAUUUCAUAAUUAUAAUUUUUUUUUUACAACUGCUGUAUCUUAAAAGCUAUAGCAUGUUAUGUGAAUUUGCAUUCUAGGCUUGUAACUUCAUACGUCAUUAAUCAGACAUUGCCAACAUAAUGAUGGUUGUCUGCAGGCUUUUGUUUCAUUCUUUUCAAAUUUCUGCUUCAAAUAUCAACACUAUUUUAUUCACACAAAGGACCCAAAGAGGCCUUUGUUGAUAUUAAAUAAAAUAGCGUUCUAACGUAGCAUUCUCUACUACUAAUUCAGUGGAAUGUUGGUGGAAAUGAUUUCAAAAUAUUUAAUUCAAUGAAUAUGAGAAGAUAAAGAGUUUUUUUUCCUUUUUUUUAACGAUAUUAAUAAUAAACUAUAAAAAAAUUAAACUUAUUACUCAUAACAACCCACUCAACUUGUUUAAAUUGAAUUGGAUCGGAUGUAUUGAGUUGGAUUGAGUUUGCUCAUCCCUAAUUAUUAGUACAGUAAAAUUAAAAGGACAAGGAGUAUACUAAGAAAAAUUAAUUAAUUUUACAUUUUAGUUACAUGAUAAAUCGUCUGUUACUUAUCAUUCCCUUAUAUUUGCAUGAUUAAGAAAAAAAUACUUGAUGAAAAAUUCUAGUAUUUUUUAAAACUUAAUUACUUAGAUUAAAUUUAUUCGUGUUUACUUGACUUCAGGGAUUUAAAGAAUAGCUUUCACCCUCUUUAUUUAAUUAGUUGUAUGAGUUCAACUUCUAGAGAGAUAAAGAGUUAAAAUUUAUAAUUAAACUCUACACCCAACUCUAUGUUGAUGCCCAAAAAUGACCUCAAGAGCUGAAUUUAUUUUCUGAGGAAUAACAUCACGAAUCCAAGCUCAAACUACAGCUCAACUACAACUUCCUAUACCUGCCAACCACAGAACACGGUUAAGACACGCCGGUGGGGGUUCCGACGGGAAUACUCCUAUGCUUAAGUCAGACGUUUUGUAUAUAAGAAAAAAGAAAAUGAAAAGGAGGAACUGGAAAUGAAUUAAAAUCAAGGAAUUCUUCGGUGGUUGUGUUGUCAAUCUCGUAGAAAAUAUGAAGGUUUUAAGACUAGUCACUUGUAGAGUUUUUUAGUUAAUUUUUCUACCACUUUUCUCUUAUGCUCUUUUCAACUUAAAUAGGCUCUCGGUUGUGGGUGGUUAUCUCAUUAGUUUUAUUCCACUCUCUUGAGCAGUUGCAGCUAGUUUUCAACUGAAGGCGGUUUGAUAAGUUGCGUUAUGUAACUUUCUCAAAAUAUAUGCCACGUGGUCCUGACAAAUAAUAUUUCGUGUCAAGCUAGCACAUCCUCAGGUCGGACAAACAAGUUUCCAGCUCAAACUACUUCAUUUCCAUAUUAGAUUAGUAGAUUUUUAUGUCGCUCGUAUGGACUUAGAGUUGUAUUUAUAAACCAGCUCGUCCACAUUGACUCUAGAUUGUACUUAUAAACCACAUCGCUAACAUAGGCUCUUAGUUGUACUCAUGAGACCAACUCAACAACAAUUGGUUCCAAGUAAAGGUUAGAAUCAACUGUAUUUCUCGACAUUGUUAGAAAAAAUCCAAUCUCAACACCAGUCCCUUAAUUUUUAAUAUCGAGAAGCUAUUACUGGUGUUGGAAAGUAAUUAUUGAAAAAAUAAAAAAUAAAAAUCGUAAACCUAACACCAAUCAUUUAGUUUUCAAUAUCAGAAAAUUAUUACUGGUGUUGGAAAUUAAUUAUCGAAAAAAAAAUUGAAAAUAUUUUCGCAAACCCAACACUAGCACCCUAGUUUCCAAUACUGAAAAGAUACGAUUGGUGUUGGAAACUUAAACGUAGGACAAUAUGAGCUCGAGCUGAGCAAAGAAUGCGUAGCUAAACAUAAAUAAUGCCGAGUUGAAUGGGCUAAAAAAUUGUAAAAAAAAAAUUGCAUUGCUCAUAGAGAAGAGAAAAAAGGACGAAAAAGUAAAAGAAAUAAAUAAAUAAGGCAAUAAAACAAAAGUAAAUAAAUAAAUGAAUGAGACAACAAAACAAAAGUCAUGUCACGUGAGUAGAGGAAAGCAAAAUUUAAGUCACAAACUUUUGUCUUAUAGCCAAUAAUAAGGUAAUCUCGGCCAUUAGUUGCCUAAGGGUUUAGAUAAUGCAAUUUAUUAUAGUUGUUUUUGUUCGUUUGCGUACCUUCUCCUAUUGCUCUAUUCAUCAAUGGGAAUAGGUGCUAGCUUUAAUAAUUUUACUCGAAUAAUUUUAUACAUAUACGUUUACUCAAAAAGUUAGCAAAGGCAAGAGAAAAAUGCACGAAAUUAUUAAAACGAAAAAUAUUGAAUUACAAAACAGCAAUUUUAUGCAACUUUUGUGCAAAUUUCAUUAUUGUUUUGACUAUCCAAACGGAGCUAUGCAUCCUCUUUUAAAUGACUCAACCAAAUUGUCCAAUGCAACACGAGAUGACCCACCAUCCCUCAUCGCUGCUGCAGCUGCUUCUUUCAUUGCCACCGCACGUUCCUUAACAGCUCUACCUUUCUCCGAGUCCAUCAACUCACUAACUCGCUGCUCCAACUCGGCUGAGCUCACCAAUCCGUCUCCUUCUUCUGACCGAGUCACCGCCAAACCCACCUUCAUUUCCUCCACCACGACCGCUCUAAUCAUCUUUUGCUCGGCAUACAGAGGCCAAGCCAACAUUGGCACCCCGGCACAAACACCUUCAAGCACCGAGUUCCACCCGCAGUGAGUCACAAACCCGCCAACUGACUCAUGAUUCAGUACCUCCACUUGCGGCGCCCACGAUUCAACCACGAGCCCCCUAUCUUUUGUUCUAUCCAAGAACCCUUCAGGUAAAAGAGACUCCAAUGAGCUUCGGUUCUCGACGCUGUCGGGAGCUGGAGCUCUCACGACCCAAAGAAACUUAACACCACUUCUCUCCAACCCAAUGGCCAUUUCUUUUAACUGCUUACAAGAGAACGAUCCCAAGCUUCCGAAACAAAGAAACAGGACGCUUCGACUCGGUUUCGAGUCAAGCCAGCUCAAGCAUUCAUGUCGAUCACGUCCUCGAUUCUCUCCAUUUCCUCGACCAACCACGGGCCCUAUGCAAUAUAAAGGCGGCGACGUAUCCCCUGGAGUGCAUUGUCCUUCUAGCAUCGCUUUGAUAGCUCUCUCUUCGAGCAAUUCAAAUGUGUUUACAAUAACCCCCGCAGAUUUUGCCAUCUGGAUGCCGGUGUCGACUAAGCCCUUGUAUACUUUACCCUCACGAUCAUGCAUGGGUAACGCCAUGUCUCUUGCUGGAAAAGGCGGAAAUCCGGGGAAAUUUAAAAGCGCGCUGCCGAGUUCUCUGAAGCUCUUUGUGGUGUUUUUAUGAAGAGUUGGUAAGUAGAGGUUAGCAGCGAGUACGCUUCCUGCGGUGGUGAAGUAAUAGUAAGUAGGGAUACUGAGAGUACUCGAGGAAACUUGAAACGCGGGGUUGCAAAGGAAAUCGAUAACAAAGGCUUUCAGGUUUGAGCGUUUGGAAAUUGUUAUUAGGGUUUCGUGGAGAUUAGGGUUGUUGAGCUCGCCAAGCUCGUACACUAAGGCUGGGAAGUCAGCUGGUGAACGUAAAGUGUCGGGUAGGCCGGAAACCGGAGGAGGGAGUUGGUGGAAGGUAACGGAGGGAGCUGUGGCGGAGACGGAGGCGAUGUAAUCAUCGGUACCGGCGCUUGAUACGAACGGGGCGGUGGGGAUUAUGAUGUCAAUGGAGAAGCAAGGGUGGUACGUGAGUAUCAAUUUUCCUAAUUCAACCAUGGAGUUUAAGUGACCUCUUCCUGGAGAAGUAUAAAAGACAAUCGUAUCUUUCAUUUUUUUUAAUCUUUAAUUUUACAAGUUAAAAUAUUUUUAAAAAAAACAGUAGAAAUGGUGAGAAAUUAUAGUGAGAGAGAAUGAGAGUGUGAUAAAGGGCUCCUUUGUGUUUGCUAAUCGCAAUGCAAUUAUGCAUCGAAGCCCACGACGAAAUACUGGAAGCCUGUAGGUUACAGGGUUAAAUGGGCAAAGAAUUGUUGGUUGAAGUAAAGGGAGCUUAAAGAAACUUUCACAAGUGGAGGAGGAUUUUGGGGAAAACGAUUCAGUCUCUUCUACUCGGCUUCAAUGCCUUGCGUAAGUGUAGCAUGUGGGCUGAAUUAUUUAUCAAAACGAGAAGGACUUGCGAGUUGAGGUCACUUAGUUGCCAGGUUGUGAACCCAUCAGACAAUCACAGUAUGCUGACAUAAUUGACCAACCUGUUUUCUAGCCACAUAGUUCAACUACCCACUAUGACUUUUCAAAGCAAAUGACGUGGCCUAUGUUUACACCGCUUGAUUUACCUGUCCCCUACCCCGCUCUGUUUUCUCCUAAUCUUUAACUAGGCUCCACCGUAUUAAAAAUAAAAAUAAAAAACAAAAACUAUCCCUUAAUUCUUCUAGAUUACCAGAGGGAAGUGGUGGAAAGUGACGGAAGGAGUGGUGGCGGAGACGGAGGCGAUGCAACCGUGGAUACAGGAGCUUGUUUCGAAUGGGGCGGUGGUGCGGAUUAUGGUAGCAAGGGUGGUAAUUAAGUAUCAAUUUUCCUAAUCCUACGAUGAAAUUUAAGUGACAUUUUUCUUGGAGAAGGAUACAAAAUAAAGUAUUCUUUCAUUUCUUUACCUAUAAUUUAAAAUUAUUAAAUGCUAAAAAAAAGGUCGGAGCUUAUAGAAAAAAGUUUAGAAUAUUAAUAUAUUAGUUUUAUUGGUUUCUUUAUGAUAUAUUUACCGGUAAUUAUUUUUAAAGAUACAACGUUAUCAAAUUAGCUUUACAAAUAAUUCAUGUGACAAUUUAAUUUAAAUUUGUGAUCGUAUGUACAAUAAAAUUAAAUUUAUAGAGAGAAAACUCCUUAAAUUUUUAUCCUUUUAGAAGUAAGAAUAAUAUAUUAGGCAUGUGAACCUUCCAUUGCGAUUAGGCCAAUCAAAAUUUGAACAUAUGAAGUCUGCAACAGUCACUUCAAUUGCGAUUAGGCCAAUCAAAAUAUGAACAUAUGAAGUCUACAACAGUCACUUCCAUUGCGAUUAAGCCAAUCUUGUAGCUAUAUUCGUGGCAUGUUAAUGCUGACCAAUUUUAAUUUAAAUUAUUGGCUCGGCGAGUACUGAAGUACAAUUAAUCUGUCCGCGAAAUCGGAAUAAAAUAUUUGUGUCCCAAUUUACUGGCACAUUACAUGUCAAUUGAUUAAUGAUAGCAUAAAGAGGUGUGCUAGCGACAGUCGGUCGCCCUUGUGGGCCACUAACUCAGUCGCUCUUUUAUUUUAUGGGCACGUGUUUGAUAUUUUGGUUCUGUGUAAUUUUAAAUUAAUGUUAAUAUCUUUAAGUUUUGUUUUAAUAUUAUUAUUUUUAUGUAUAACGAAUUUACCACAAUAUCCUUAUCAUUUCUCCCUCUCGCCAGGCUUGUUCUCCCUGCCACUGCAGCUCCUUCUCUGCUUCUUCAAUUUCUUUUCUCUCUCUACUGGAAGCUUGGAAAAAAGAGAGAAAAGGGAAAAAAAAAAAUUUGAAGUCAAGUCUCCUUUUUAGCCAAAAUAAAAUUUUAAAAAAUAUUUUACUUUAAAAAAUAAAUAACAAAAAUUAUCCUAGCCAUGUAGAUCCGAUUACGCACCUAAAAUAAAAUAUCAUAUCAAAUCUGAAGUAGGAGAAGUGGAGAGACGGUCAUCUUUCAAGCAACGAUAAUAUUUUGUUAUCAUUUCUUUUUUUAGGAGACUUUGUUUUUUUAAAUCUUUUUUCCCCUUGUCUUUUUUUUUUUUUCCCUUCCAAUCUUUCGUUAAAGGAGAAAAGAAGGAAAAGAAAUUGACGAAGAAGAGAACAAUAAGAAGAGAAAGCUUGGCAAGGAGGAGAAAGGAUAAGGAUGUUUUGGUAAUUUCACUAUACAUAUAUAUAAUAAUAUUAAAAUAAAACUAAAAGAUAUUAAUAUUUUAACAUUUAUUUAAAACUAUACAGAACCCAAAAUAUCAAACACGUGUCAGCAAAUGAAGUUAGCGGCUGAUGGGCGAUUGUCGCUAACACUCCUCUACUAUUAAAAAGCCAGCUAUUAUUAAACCCAUCACAUGUCAUUUCUUUAAAAUGUUGUAUUCAAGAAGCAUAUGAAGUCUCCUUCAAUUUUUUUAAAACUUCUAACUAUAUUUCAAUGGAAUUCUCACUAAACCUGCUUAACAAUUAACUAAAAUAUGUAGCUGGCAAAUUAAUUUCAACUUUUGCUUACGAGGAAAUACUACUAAUCAAGUUUUUUACAAUGAGGAUCAAAAUUCUCAAUUAAAAUAGGCGACGUUUUCUCGUAUUCUAUAAUUUCUCUUAAGCAUAUGGUUAAAUUAUUAUUUGGCAGUCGUAUGUAAAUGAAAGAAAUUCACACUUCUUUGUAAUUAAAAUUAUUCUCAACAUUAUUUUGCUCUUCCAUAAAUUCAAUAGGAGUCACUUUAUAUGUGUUCUAAGAUUAAUAAAAAAUAAAUAAAGAUAUCAAUUCAGGGUUAAAAAAAAUGUAACGGUGAGUGUAAAGAUGGGCUUAAAGAAUACAAAUAUUUUAAUAAUUUAAUUUUUUUUUUCCAAGUGUGGAUUUAGUGAGUGGGUUUGUGUGUUCAAAUGCAUAUUAUUAUGUAAUAAAAAAAUACAAAUAAUUAUUACGAAGUGUUUGUACUAUGGACUUUUCGGAUAAGCCAAUUAACGACUAUUGCUAAAAGCCCCUCACUGUAUUCAUGCAAGUGAUCCAAGGCCGUAUCGUAGCUCAAGCACCAAACAGCUUAAUUUAUGUUUGGGCCGGGUCGGAUUAUGGACUUUGGACUGAAUUUCUUUUUGGUACUUUUUGAGAAAAAUAACAAGAAGACACUAAAAUACAGCAGUCACAAACUCUCAACUAUUGUAUACAAAUAGAUAACAUAAUAAAAAUAAAUGAUAUGGAUGGUACGGUGUUUUAUUUAAUUAAAUCCAUGCUAUUUAUACCACGUGAGUUGUACAAUAAAUUUGUAGUUAGCCACAUCUAGUUCUCGUAAUUGUGCCCUUCAUAGAUUACCUUAUCUAAGCCCUUAGGCAAUCGUAUGGCCGAGAUUACCUUAGUAUUGACUAUAAGACAAAAGUUGGUGACUUAAAUUUUGCAUUCCUCUACUAACGUGACAUGACUUUUGUUUUGUUGCCUUAUUCAUUUAUUUCUUUACUUUUGUUUUAUUACCUUAUUUAUUUAAUUCUCUACUUUUUCGUCCUUUUUGUCUUUUCUCUAUGAUCAAUGCAAAAUUUUAACAAUUUUUAAGCCCAUUCAACUCGGCAUCAUUCAUGUUUAGCUAAGCAUUCUUUGGUCAGCUCAAGGUCAUAUUAUCCCCCGUUUAAGUUUCCAACACAGAUCAUAUCUUCUCGAUAUUGGAAACUAAGCGACUAGUGUUCGGUUUACGAAUAUUUUUCUAUUUUUUUUAAUAAUUAAUUUCUAACACUCGUAAUAACUUCCUGAUAUUAAAAACUAAGGGAUUGAUGUUGAGAUUAGUUUUUUUUUUUUGACCCAAUGCCGAGAAAUACAAUUGACCCUAACUUGUUAGGAAUCAAAUGCUAUUGAACUGACCUCAUGAGUACAACCAAAAACCUAUGUUGACAACCUGAUUUUAUAAGUACAACUUCGAAUUAAUGUGGACGACCUUAUUUAUAAAUACAACUCUAGGUCUAUGCGAGCGACAUAAAAAUCCACCAAUAUGAUUUGGAAAUGAAGUAAUUCAACCUCGAAACUUGUUUGUCCAACCUGAGGAUGUGCUAGCUCGACACGAAAUAUUAUUUGUCAAGACCACGAGGCCUAUAUUUUGGGGAAAUUACAAACCACAACUUGUCAAACCGUCUUCAACUGACGACUAGCUAUAACUGCUCAAGAGAAUGGGAUAAAACUGAUGGAGUAACCAUCCACAACUGAGAGUCUAUUUUAAGUGGAAAAGAGCAUCAAAGGAAAUGAUUAGAAAAAUUAACUAAAAAGCUCUAUAAAUGACUAGUCUUAAAACCUUCUUAUUUUUUAUGAGAUUAACAACACAACCACCCAAGAAUUCUUUGAUUUUAACUCAUUUCCAAUUCCUCUUUUUCAUUUUCUUUUUUCUCAUAUACAAAACAUCUUACUUAAGCAUCAAAGGAUUCUUGUCGAAACCCCCACCAGUGUGUAUUAACCGUGUUCUAUGGUUAGUAGGUAUAAGAAGUUAUGGUUGAGCUGUAGUUUGAGCUUGGAUUCGUGUUGUUAUUCCCUAGACAAAUAAAUUCAAAUGUUAAGGCAGUUUUUCUGCAUCACCACCCUCCUUAAAAGACAUUCAUUAAAUAAUAAUCCUUUGGUAAUUAGCCCAUGAGCGUACUAAGAAUAGUAAAGGAAAUCUACGGAAUGACAUACAAUUGUUAAUAUUCCAAAUUAAAGAAAAACAUCAUCGUUUAUUUUUAAAAGAACGAGAGAGAAUCACAGGUGCUAAUUUUUACUCGAAUAAUUUUAUACAUAUACAUUUACUCAAAAAGUUAGCAAAGGAAAAAAAAUGCAUGAACUUAUUAAAAACAAAAAAUAUUGAAUUACUAAACAGAAAUUUUAUGCAACUUUUGUGAAAACUUCAUUAUUGUUUUGACUGUCCCAACGGAGCCAUGCGUCCUCUUUUAAAUGACUCAACCAAAUUGUCCAAUGCAACACGAGAUGACCCACCAUCCCUCAUCGCUGCUGCAGCUGCUUCUUUCAUUGCCACCGCACGUUCUUUAACAGCUCUACCUUUCUCCGAGUCCAUCAACUCACUAACUCGCUGCUCCAACUCGGCUGAGCUCACCAAUCCGUCUCCUUCUUCUGACCGAGUCACCGCCAAACCCACCUUCAUUUCCUCCACCACGACCGCUCUAAUCAUCUUUUGCUCGGCAUACAGAGGCCAAGCCAACAUUGGCACCCCGGCACAAACACCUUCAAGCACCGAGUUCCACCCGCAGUGAGUCACAAACCCGCCAACUGACUCAUGAUUCAGUACCUCCACUUGCGGCGCCCACGAUUCAACCACGAGCCCCCUAUCUUUUGUUCUAUCCAAGAACCCUUCAGGUAAAAGAGACUCCAAUGAGCUUCGGUUCUCGACGCUGUCGGGAGCUGGAGCUCUCACGACCCAAAGAAACUUAACACCACUUCUCUCCAACCCAAUGGCCAUUUCUUUUAACUGCUUACAAGAGAACGAUCCCAAGCUUCCGAAACAAAGAAACAGGACGCUUCGACUCGGUUUCGAGUCAAGCCAGCUCAAGCAUUCAUGUCGAUCACGUCCUCGAUUCUCUCCAUUUCCUCGACCAACCACGGGCCCUAUGCAAUAUAAAGGCGGCAACGUCUCCCCUGGAAUGCAUUGUCCUUCUAGCAUCGCUUUGAUAGCUCUCUCUUGGAGCAAUUCAAAUGUGUUUACAAUAAUCCCCGCAGAUUUUGCCAUCUGGAUGCCGGUGUCGACUAAGCCCUUGUAUACUUUACCCUCACGAUCAUGCAUGGGUAACGCCAUGUCUCUUGCUGGAAAAGGCGGAAAUCCGGGGAAAUUUAAAAGCGCGCUGCCGAGUUCUCUGAAGCUCUUUGUGGUGUUUUUAUGAAGAGUUGGUAAGUAGAGGUUAGCAGCGAGUACGCUUCCUGCGGUGGUGAAGUAAUAGUAAGUAGGGAUACUGAGAGUACUCGAGGAAACUUGAAACGCGGGGUUGCAAAGGAAAUCGAUAACAAAGGCUUUCAGGUUUGAGCGUUUGGAAAUUGUUAUUAGGGUUUCGUGGAGAUUAGGGUUGUUGAGCUCGCCAAGCUCGUACACUAAGGCUGGGAAGUCAGCUGGUGAACGUAAAGUGUCGGGUAUGCGGGAAACCGGAGGAGGGAGCUGGUGGAAGGUAACGGAGGGAGCUGUGGCGGAGACGGAGGCGAUGUAAUCAUCGGUACCGGCGCUUGUUACGAACGGGGCGGUGGGGAUUAUGAUGUCGAUGGAGAAGCAAGGGUGGUACGUGAGUAUCAAUUUUCCUAAUUCUACCAUGGAAUUUAAGUGACCUCUUCCUGGAGAAGUAUAAAGGACAAUCGUAUCUUUCAUUUUUUUUAAUCUUUAAUUUUACAAGUUAAAAUAAAAAAAACAGUAGAAAUGGUGAGAGAUUACAGUGAAAGAGAAUGAGAGUGAUAAAGGGCUCCUCUGUGUUUGCAAACCGCAAUACACUUUUAUGCAUCGACACCCACGACGAAAAAGUGGAAGCUUGUAGGCUACAGGUUUAAAAGGGCAAAGAAUUGUUGGUUGAGAGAAUUUGGUUGAAGUAAAGGGAGCUUAAAGAUACUUUCACAAGUGGAGGAGGAUUUUGGGGAAAACUAUGUGGGUUUGAUGGUUUCUUCUACUUGGCUUUAAUGCCUUUUUGUAACUUUUGGGCUGAAUUAUUUAUAGAAACCAGAAGGACUUGCGUGUUGGGCUCUGUUAUCACUUAUUUGACAGUUUGCUAACAUAAUUGACCUAACAUAUAUUUUAGCCCGCAUAGUACAACCUACCCAAUUGAUUUUUCAAAGCAGAUGACUUGGCCCAUGUUUACGCCGCUUGAUUUAACUAUCCCUUAACUCUUCUAGAUUACUAGAGGGCACUGUUGGAAAGUGACGGAGAGAGUGGUGGCGAAGACGGAGGCGAUGCAACCGUGGAUACUGGAGCUUGUCUCGAAUGGAGCGGUGCUAAUCAAGUGAGUAUCAAUUUUCCUAAUUUUACAAUGAAAUUUAAGUGACAUCUUCUUGGAGAAGGAUGCCUAUAAUUUAAAAUUAUUGGAUGCUAAAAAAAAAAAUCAUAGCUCAUGGAAUAAAGUUUAGAAUAAAUUAGUUUUAUUAAUUUUAAGUAAUUAUUUUAAAAGAUACAAUAUUAUCAAACUAGUCCUCCAUAUGAUUCAUCUGUCAAUUUAGUUUAGGUUUAUAAUCGUAUAUGCAAUAAAGUAAAUUUAUGCAAAGAAACAUCCUUAAACUUUUAUCCUUUUGGGGGUAAGAAAAAUAUAUUAGGUAUGUGAACAUUAAUUGAUUGUAAGUUAUUAAUUUAUAAAGCAUUCCUAUAAUGUCAUGUUCAAAACAGUCAAACAGAUCAAAAUGAAUUAUAAUUCAUUGCGAUUAAGCCAAUCUUGUAGCAAUAUUUGUGGCAUGUUAAUGCUGAUCAAUCUUAAUUUAUAUCAUUGGCUCGUCGAAUAUUGAAGUACAAUUAAUAUGUCUGUGAAAUUGGAAUAAAAUAUUUGUAUCCCAAGUUUACUAGCACAUGAAAUGUCAUUCCCAUUGGGUUAUGAAAUUAUUUGAUUUGCUUAAUGAUAGUAUAAAAAGUCAAUUAUUAUCAAACACAUGACAUAUCAUUUCUCUAAAAUGUUAUAUUCAAGAAGUAUAUGAAGUUUCCUUCAAUUUUUUAAAAAUUUCUAACUAUAUUUUAAUAGAACUCUCAUUAAACCCACUUAACAAUUAACUCAAAUUUCUAGGUGGCAACUUAACUCCAACUUUUGCUAAUGAGAAACAACUACUAAAUUAAGUUUUUUUACAAUAUGGAUCAAAGCUCUCAAGUAAAAUAGGCGACAUUCUCUAAUAUUCUGCAAUUUCUUUAAGCACAUGGUUAAACUAUGUAUUUGGCAUUCGUAUGUAAAUGAAAGAAAAUCACAAUUCUUUGUAAUUAAAAUUAUUCUCAACAUUAUUCUACUCCUUCAUAAAUUCAAUAGGAGUCACUUUAUAUGUGCUCUAAGAUUAAUAAAAAAAAUAAAGAUAUCAAUUCAGGGUUUAAGAAAAACAUAACAAUCAGUGUAAAGAUGGGUUCAAAGAGUAAAACUAAUUUAAUAAUUAAAUAUUUUUUCCAAAUGUGGAUUUUAGUGAGUAGCUUUGUGUGUUCAAAUACAAAUUAUUAUUACGAAGUGUUUAUACUAUGACUUGAAUAUUUUGAAUUUUCUUUUUAGCAAGGAGCAAAAAUAUAGAAAUUGCUCGGUGGAUGAAAGAAACCUAACGGUUUUCUGAUUGAAGAUCGGAUGUGAUGAGUAAAUCUAACGGUAUUUUUCAUUGAAGAUCGGAUAUGGAAUUGUAGAUGUGGAAUGACAUUUUCGCUUGUGGAACGGUAGUUGUGCUGAUGCUUGUAGAUCCUUGUCCUCAAGCAUCAACAUCAUCUGAUAAAUCGAUCACAAAGACUGAACUUUUCGAAUAAGCCAAUCGGCAACUAUUGCUAAAAACCCCUCACGAAAAACUAAGCACGCACCUACUUUCACUCAUGCAAGUGAUCCAAGGCCGAAUUGUAGCUCAAGCCCAAACAGGUUAAUUUAUGUUUGGGCCCGAUCGUAUUAUGGACUUUGGACUGAAUUUCUUCUUGGUACUUUUUGAGAAAAAUAACAACAAUACAGUAAAGAGUGGGACUACUGGCACCCCAAUAAAUUUCUCAUAACACCUCUUUUCUUAACUCUAUUAAAAUAUUUUAAAAAUUAUAAAAUUCUUUUAACACCUCCAUUAAUAAUAAAAAUACCCUUAAAUAAAAUUUAUUGUGUAAACUCUAUUUUUUAUUUUUUAUUAUUAAAACACAUUUCAACAAUCAGAUCUCUUCCAUUUAAAAGAAAAAGACAAUGAGUUUUUAUUCUCUCCAUUAUAGCCAUCGGUCUCACCCGAAAAUUAGAGAAAAAGACAAUAUUUUUUUAUUUAUAAAAUGAACAAAAAAUAUUUGACUUUUGAGUGAGACUUAAUUAGAAAUUAUCCUUUUAUAUAAUUUGAAUAGAGGUUAAAAUUGUAAAACAAUUAAAGAAAUUUUAAGAGCUGUUUAGAAGGGUGCCAACAGUCUCACUCUACAGUAAAAUACAGAAGUCACAAACUCUCAAUAGCAACAAUUUUAUACAAAUUGAUAACAUAAUAAAAAUAAAUCACAUGCAUCAUUCAUACGGUGUUCGCGUCAGUUGUACAACAAAUUUGUAAUUAGCCACAUUUAGUUUUCGUAAUUGCGCCCUUCACAGAAUGGUUUAAUUAUCACAUUAUCUCUCCGAUCCGAAUAAAUCAAUGCGGAAUCAUUAUAAAUUAAUGUAAUCUUCAUGGAAUUCUGGUUUAUUAUCAAAGGCAGCAAUUUGAGCUUCGAAAAGAAGCUUGCUAGAGAGAGUUUGCUAGAGAGAGCCGAUCGUCUUGUUUUGUUGUUCUAUUUGAAAGCUGCUGAGGGAACAAGAAACAGACGGCGAGCUGCUUAAGUAAAUUACCGAGUGAAGUCAGCACCUCGCAAUAUGAGACUAGACAAGCCAACAAUAAGUUCACGUGGUGGAUUUGGUGCAGCGCCCGUGAUCAUUCACUGGUUCUGGAUAGCAGACAAAUCACAGCAUUUUUAGCACCCGACAAAACCCCAUUGAUGAUGAAAGACAGCGAUAGCCCUUGGAUUCGUCACUCACUCUGUGCAUCAAUUAUCUUAAUUAUAAUAUGGAUAGGGACCCGUGACACAUUGUGAGAAGCUUGUGGGUCACCAAUUAUAAGCAAUGUAUCUUUCUCAUCCCACCCAUUUUUCUUUUUUUUUAAAAGUACAAUGAUUAAUUUUAGCCCAUCAAAUUAUUGUGUCAAGUCGAUGAAGACGAACGAGGAAUAUACAUAUAUGUAUAUAUAUUUUCUAGAUUUUUGAUAAAAAUGCGAACGUCCGUACUUAAAAAAAAUUUCAUUAAUUAAUAAUCUCAAAAACAGGAAGAGCAUACAUGAUUAUUCAUCUUUUUACUGUAAUUUCCAGCAUUUCGAUCACUUCUUCUCUUUUGACAGCAGAGAAGGAUUUCUGUUUAGAAUUAUAAUGAUACACGUACACUCACGUUACUUACAAAACAAAAUGGAAACAAUUAUACAUUUUACAAAACGUAGUAGGAAAAUUCCCGUUAGGUUGAAGCAUAUAUUGUAUUGACAAUAUACUGGACGAACAAAUUUAAUUACAAAACUGUCAAUCAAACGAGCUUUACUGUCAUAUUUCAAAUUAUUGAUUUCAUCCAUGGAAUGAAACCCAACAAAGAAAUAUAUGACGCAGAAAAUUGACUUCGGUUCUUGAGAAUUUACGCCUAUUUCUUAGAUUUUGAAACCCUCCUGAUCAAAACAACGAAACAAAGCAGACGAUAUAAUACAAAGAAGCCAAUCAAGAAGUAAAUAUUUGUCCAUCUCUGCCUCUCAUGUAGCCCUCUAUUUUGCAACACAUCACCUCCAGUCACCAUGCACGUUGUGUUCUCUUGGUACCAUAGUAGACACUUGGACGCAAGGCAGGAAUACUCAUUGAUAAGAAGCGCGUCGAGGGCGUACUUGUACAUUGAAAAGAAGUGCAUGAAUAGCCAAUACUUGGGCAUGCUGUCCUUUUUGAUGAAGUAGCCAGAGAAGAGAAAAAACGCACCAAGAAAUAUUGUCACGAGUGAAGUUCCCGCAAUGUAAUUUGGUGCAAGAGAGCUCAGGAAAAGCACAAAUGAAUUAGCCAUCAGGAUUAUGACCCAUAUGACCAAAACAAAGUAAGCAAAGGCUUGCCAUGAAGCACAAAGCCCCACCAAGAAGUAAACUGAGACUGAGUAAAUGAUUGCAACGGCAAGCAAGUAUGGCAAGAACACAAGGGUAUUCGCUAUGAGGUAACUCGAAAGGCGAUAGACUCCACUUGAAGUCUCUCUCAAUAGAAUUGGCCUUUCAUUGAUAAAGAUUGGGAGAGUUUCAGUUGUCGAGGAGAGGAGAAAAGUGAGAGUGAAGGCAAAGAGACCAAACCUGUUUUCAAUUCCUUGCUUGUCAUACCCAACAUUGAUAAAAAUAGUGCCUAAAACAAGACCUACAAUGAGAGCUUCCAAUGUGUUUGUCAAAAGCAGCUGCCUUGUUCUGUAAAUGAUCUUCCAAAACCUGUUGUACAAAGUGCAAACUUCUUGGAGCCUUGAGCUUCUAUAUAUUGUCGCCGUAUGGUUCACUUCGUUAUCGCAAGGAGAAGUUGCAGAACCAUCGUCGUCAUCACCACUAGGUGGUGUGUUCAUAAGAGGCUUAGUAUCAUCAUGAAGCUGGCUUAGUAUUUCCAUUGUGUAUUCAAGGGCAUUGAGCUGAGGAGGGACAGAGAAGCCACUGGAGAGCAAAAACGUUUCAAGUGAAGCAAGUGUGCCAUGAUGAACAACAGACCCUUUUGAUAGCAGAAGGAUUCUAUCAAUGGUGGAGAGGAUUUUGAAGCUGGGUUGAUGGAUGGAUAAGAUCACAGUGCGGUGACGCGAGGCAGAGAUGGAUUUGAGGGUCUGCAUAACGUUGAAAGCAGAGCGACUGUCGAGGCCCGAAGUGGGUUCGUCGAGAAGCAACACGGCAGGGUCGUGAAGGAGACUUAAGCCUAUGGAGACACGUCUACGCUCACCGCCUGAUAGAUUAUGAGCGAGCCUUGUGCUGGCCAAGUGUGCUAGCCUGAGCUCAGUGAGAAGGACCGUGAUAAUUGUGUCUAUUUGGGAUGUUUUGGGGACCAAAAGGCGAGCUGAGAAGAGAAAAGUUUCGUAGACAGUGAGAGAAGGGAUGCAUGCAUCAUGCUGAGGGACAUAAGCUGAGAGCUUGCGGAAUGAUGAAGGCUUGAUGGGGGAUGAAUUGAGGAGGAUGGUGCCAUUUGUGGGGGAUGUUCGGGCCGAUAAAAUGUCGAGGAGGGUUGAUUUGCCUGCCCCGCUUGGGCCAACAAUUGCAAGGAUUUGGGAUGGAUAGGCUGUGAGAGACACGUUCUUGAGGAUGUAAGUCGGUGGCUUUAAUGAGCAAACUUCGAAAAUGAAGGAUGGUAUAAUGCUGUUAUUAGAUUUGAUGUAUGAGAUUGAAGAACCCGUCAACUUGUAGGUUUUAAGCGGUGGCGGCGGAGGCGACGGUGCCGGCAAUGGUGGUGGUAAUUCUUCUUCCAUGAGACAAGAGGAAAGUUGAAGGGAUGAUAAUUGGAAAGAGUAGGAUGAACAGAUGUGUUGGGAAUAUAAAGUCUCCAUGAGGCUAUUGGCUAUUAGAGGACUGUAAUGGUCAUGGCCAAUUCUUAAUUCAAUAUUUUUUAAUUACCAUAUUGGAGCUGAUAGAGUUGAGCGUCUAGACAUACCAAAACAAACUGACAUUCAAAGGGUACAAAUGUAAGAGGACCUAUCAAACUACAUACGAAGUACAUUCUCUCGUGUCUUUUGUUAAUUGGUUAGAGCCAUGGGGCAUGUAGUUUUUUUUUUUUUUUUAAUGAAACAUGAGUGUAUCAUGUAGUUAAGAAGUUGUAAGUUUGCAAGUUUCGUACAACUUGUCUUGUUAGAUUCGAUCGCAUACAAAUUUUAACCAUUCAUUUAGUCCUCUAGUAAAAGACUCCCCCAACAUAAAUUUAGAUAUGGAUACGACGAGACUUUUUUUUUUUUUUUUGAUUACAUGAGACUAUUGCUCAAAUUACAACUCAUAUUACAUGAGAGUAUAAUUGAUAUGUACAAUCAUAUAUUUAUACUGAGCCCUAUUGAUAUGAAUAGGGAUGGCAAAAUCCGGGUCCGGGUCCGGGUUUAGCCUUUCCGGAUGUACAAUCAUAUAUUUAUACUGAACCCUAUUGAUAUGAAUGCUGAUAUGACACCGCUCAGAUUUUUAACCCUCUCAAAUAUUCGAGGGGUGUCAAACUCCCAUCUUUAUUAAUAUUAAAAUAAUAUUUUUUUUUUUUUAUUACAUGAGACUAUUGCUCAAAUUACAGUUCAAAUUACAAGUACAAUCAUAUAUUUAUACUGAACCCUAUUGAUAUGAAUGCUGAUAUGACACCGCUCAGAUUUUUAACCCUCUCAAAUAUUCGAGGGGUGUCAAACUCCCAUCUUGGGAGAAAGACUGUCUUCACUCGAGCUCAAGGGCUCCAAGGAAGAAUAUUUAAAUUAAACCCUUACAAUGCGACUGCGGAGGCUCGAACCCCUUCCCUCACAUUUGUGAGGGAGGGGCUCUAGCCACUUGGGCUAAGCCCAAGUGGUUAUACGACGAGACUUAAUUAGAUAACAAUAAGAAAUCAUUAACCCCAAUCCACUAUAAAAAUAAAAAGUAUUGCAUUAAGUCUCAAUACUUGAUUUAAGUCCGUAUUUUGUGAACAAUUUAAACCCCAUCCCACGUAUAUAAACUUACGGAGAAACUCUAAAAUAUUGUUACAGCAGGACAAUUAUUUCAUAAACGGUGUAUAUUUUAUUAUAUUUAUAAAUAAGUAAUUUGUUUAUUGGUAGUUGUAUGGUCAGACUCGACACAGUGGCCAAACUUGUGGACUAGGAACCAUGUGAGUAAGAGCAAAUAAGCAAUAGAUGACAAAAGAUAGGCUCCAAAGAAAUUCUCGCUUUGAAAUCGAAUCACGAGUUCACAGUUUCACCUCUCUCUCUCUCUCUCAUAUGACUCUGCAAAAUUUGGCGUCUGGCCAGCCUAUGCUAGAGGAUGAGCCUAAAUUUUAAGUAACUUGUUUUAGUCCGUGAAUUCUCCAUUGUCAUUCACAAGUGCUACUUUGCUGGCAUCACGCAUGAGAGUUAACAAUUCAAUGAUACUUGUGAAGAUAAAAUGGUUUUUUAAUAAUAAUAUGCCAGUUUUAUAUUCUAUUUCUUCCCCUAGCCGGCCAAUUUUUAAGGAGUGAAGAUAAAUGCUUUUAUUUGUAUACAACUAUCAAGAGUUUUCUACGAUUAUUGAAAGCCCGUAAAUCCCAUCCGCAUAGCUUGAGGCCCAUUGUAUCUCAGUGGUAACAGACCCAAAAAGUGGUUGUGACUGUAUCAUUACAAUUCACAAUCCACCUGCCAAAAUCCAAAGUUUAUCAGCCCAAUCCCCCUUUCAAACUCAUCAAUCCUUUUGGAAUACGUUGCCUUAAUAUUGUAAUUUCAGAAGAGCAGAAUGUACAUAUCACAAGUCACAACCUAAAAAUUUCUUAACUAAAAUUAGGAAUGAUAGAAUUCCUUUGUAUCAUUGAUGUACAAGGUGCUCGUCUCAUUUAGAUUGAGAUUCAAAUAUAUGCAGUAAAAUUUCACUGUAAUUAUAAUGUUGAGGCCCAAAAUAGUUUACUAUUAUAAGAAAGUUAUAACUUAAAAAAGAUGUAAUUGCAAAAUUAUAUUACUUUGAUUUAUUUACCCUCAGUGCAAGUGAUAUAAAAAGAAAAGAAUAUAAUAUAUUGAUAAUUAAUUAAUGAAGCAUGUAAAGACAAUGAUAAAGGAGAUAGAAAUAGUUUCAAAAAAUUAGUACAUAUAUUUAUAUAAUGCUAGGAUCAUGCAAAGUCAUCUUAGAAGUCUAAAGAAAAGAAUAAAUCAUUUUCUCAACUAAUUCUAGAAAAAAAAAUUUAUUCCAUCUUGAACUUUUAAGGUAAAAAAGCUUCUUCUUUUUUUGACAUAAUAACAAUAAUUAUUAUUGUGUGGUGACAAUUUCCUUAUGACACAAUCUAAAAUUAUUAUAUUUUAUUAUAAUGUGGAUAUUAUUCUUAUUUAUAAUUAAUCUAAAUUGUGACUAAAAUUUCAUAUUACCAUAUAGUAGUAUAAACAAGUUUUAUUGUAUUUGAGUAUUAAAAAAUUAAUUGAAUGAAUAUUGAAAUUUUCAAAAAAUUAAACAAGUUUUAUCGAAUAUUGAGUAUUAUACUGAUUUUGUCUUGAAUAAUAAAUCUAAACAAAAAUAUAUUCCAAUCAUGUUUCGAUAGAAAUCUUGAAUUUUUUGAGUGACGAAUUUUUUUUUAUCAUAUUAUAUCAUAAACUACAUGUCAUACGUAUAUAACAUAUCUGUCUUAUAUAAUGUUAUUAAAAUGACCUGUCAUAUAUAUAAUUUAUUAAACCAACAUUUUUUGAAAAUUUAGAUUUUUGAACAUUUGAGAUCUCAAUCAAAAUUUUUAAAAUUUUCAAAUCCCACCCCAAAAUAGUAUUCUCGAAUUUCAUUCCAAACGGACCGAAAUCUCGAAUUUUUCGAGAUAACUAGAAACUACCUAGAAAUUACAUCCCCUUAUUUUUAAAAAAAAAAAAAAAAAAAAAAGGUAAAAAAAAAAAAAAAAAAAAAAGGUCGAAAAGCGACCUGCCCACCAACUAAAACGAAAAGGGCAAGGCAUCUGAACUGUUCCGGAAAGUUCUCCCGAAUAAAUAACUUGUAAUAAAAUUACCAACUAAACUAAAAAUAAAUAAAUUUAAUGAGACCAUAUUCUGUAAUUAUUGACGACUUUUAACGAAGAAGCAACAUGAAACAGGAAGCAUAUAUGCCCAUAUUAACCCCACCAAAAAAGGAAAAAAAAAAGCAUAACUGGGGCCCCCAAUGUUUUUUUUUUCUAAUAAUUUCUGGAAAUCGCAAAUGGGCCCCAUACAGAGAUAGACUCUAGAAAUCAUCGCCGUCGUAACCAAGAUCAUCUUCGACCUUUUCCGCCGCUUCAUCAGCAAUGUGGUCUUCCAACGCGUCAACGCCCUCAGCCAAUGCCAGUCCACCCAGUAUCCCCCCUACAGCACCCACAGCCAAUCCCGUCCCCAUCCCGCCAAACUUACUCUUCUUUUUCUCCUCAACUUGACCGUAGUACCCUCCAGGUGGAGCAGCCCCGUACGCGCCGUAACUUGGCUGACCGUAAGCCCGGCAACCUUAACAUCGACUUUCCCGUGGGGCCUACCGGAUGGUCGCUUGAGCUUCAACGUGAGCGACGCGCGCUCGCCCAAUCCGACGUCGUUGAUGACAUCCUUCAGCUUGAGCUUAGCCGAGCCGAUCAGCUUCUUGGUGUCCUCCUCGUUGCCGGCGUGGACUACGUCGAUGAUGAGAGUGGUGUCGUCGUCGACGGGACCGGGCAGGGGGAUGGCGAGGGUCUCGUCCCAGUAAGGGCACGUGUCGCCCUCAUCGUCGACCUUGGUGGAGCAUUUCUUGUUUGGGUCGACCCAGAGGACGGCGUACGGCCUGUUGGGGCCGUGGCGCCAGUUGACGUUCUUGAGGUCCUUGGCGGAGGUGAUCGUCACUUCCACUUCGUAACGAGAAGCCAUCGGGAUUUUCUAGAAGAUAUAGAAAGACGGAAUGACUGUGUUGGAGGAAUAAUGUUAAGAGGCCGCGGGGUAUUUAUAUAACGUAAUAAAUGAAGCUUAGGGACUAAGAAUAGUGCCAUGUAUGGUAAUGUUGGUAUUGAUGGACGGGUGGCGGUUUCUUACUGGGGGAGGUGAGUUUUGAGAGCCAAUGGGAUGAAGGUUAGGCAGGCGUGCCUUGGGGAGUCAGCUUGGGGGAGGCGAGUUCAAGGGAAUGUGCAUCUGGCUUUUUCGUACGUAACGUCAUUGGGCAUUGGCGAGUGGGUCCAGCCACGCGGGACGCACACGGCAUUUGCAUUUUUUCGGCAUUUUUCAUGGCAGUGGGUGUGUGGUUUUCACCUUUCACCUUUUAGUUGGAUGGGGCUUAUCAAUAUGUAAAGCCCAUUGCACUUUUCAAAUUUCCUUUUGGGCUCCAUUCAAAAAAAUAUGAACAAAGAUAUCGUAGAAUUUUUUUAGAUUAUUAUGAGUAGUAAGAGUGACGUUUCAGUUUCCUUGGAGAAGAGUAACUAAAAAAAUAAAAAAAAACAUAUGAACAAAAAUAUUGUAGAAUUUCAUUAGAUUAUUAUGAGCAGUGAGAGUGAGGUGACGUGAUGGGCUCACGGCUAUGAACCGACUACAGAAUAUUAUAAACUCUUACUAAAGGCCCAAUUUUGCAUUAUUUGAGGCCCAGUUCUCGUUUGGCUUGCAGGCUCAUCGAAUUGACAACUCGUGUUAUGGCCAUCAUGAUCCAUUACUUGCGGCUUCCCCAUCGACUUUUGAAAUUAAGGGUCGUUUGGUAUAUUUUUUUUUUUUCAAUUGAUGUUUUUUAAACUCUUUUUAGAAAAGGAAAAUAAUGUUUUUGAUGUGAUAUCUUUAAAAAUAAAAAUAUGUUUGGUAGCUUAUUUUUAAUACAGCAUAUGACAAUGAAAACAACGAAAACAUGUUUAGUUGUUUGUCUUUCGAGACAGUGAAAGAGUGGAAAAAUUAUUUUAUUAAUUAAGAUUUUUUUAAUAAUGACAUUUUACUUUGUGAGUUUAUGCUAUAAUUAUCAAAAUUUGUGAUCCAUCAUAUGUGUAUUGGUAUUGUUCAUGUUGAUGUAUAUAUUUAUGUAUGUAUGUAUGUAUAUUUUUAAAAGACAUAAAAUUAAUAUAUUAUUAUCUUAUAAAUAUAUAGAUACAUACAUCGAUAUUUAUACGAAAGAGUGUAAGAUAGAAGAGUUAUAUUAUCUCAUGAUAAUUCUUAAACGUAACUUACCAUAAAAAAAUUAAAAUCAUUAAUUUAUUUUAAAACACAAAAUAAAAGUUAUGCUAAGUUACAUAAAAUCAAGUAAUUUACAUUAUUCAAGUUAAAAUAAUUUUUAUCUAGUAUGUAUCUAUUUAUUUUAGAGAAUCCAAAAUUAAUUAAUUUAGUGGCAUACAUUUUAUAUUAAUUUCGUCGUCGUAUGGAGGUAGUUUUCUUUUGCAUAAUAAAUGCAAUUUUGAUUAUCUAGAAUGAUAACUAAUAUAAAAGAAUCAAAGAAAAAAAAGGGUGUUCGAAAAAACUGUAGUCCUAUGAGAAGCCUUCGGUUUAUCACUUACAUUAAUAUAUUAUUAGAAAUAUAAAACUUAAAUAAAAUAUUAUAAAGCAUCAUUCAUUUGGUAAGUAACUUGAUAGCAUGUGUUGGACUAGUAGAAUAAUUCUAUCCCUUGUAGUGGGACUUGCGUAAAAUGAAUAUUGAAGAAUAGCAUAAAGUCUUUUCUUCUUUUCUUCACAAUUUCUCAUCGAAAAUCGUCGUAACAAUGCAGAAAUAAGGGCUGCCAAACAUAUUUUCUUAAUUUUUGUUUUUUUUUUAAACGAAAAACACUGAACAAAAAACGUUACCAAACAGGUCUUAAUCUUCCGAAGGAGUGACAAGACCCGACUAAACGCCCGGAAAGGCGGGAAAACAUAUGAGUCUAAAAAAUUGUCUUGUUUAAGUUGAAACCCAAUAUUUCAUGGUACACAUAUUACAUUGGUUUAAUGAUUUUAUAGUUCAAAAAAGUUCCAAAAGACAAAUUAAGUUAUUUUUCUUUUAUUCUAAAAAUAAACACCGCUAUUUAGAGUUAUUAUGCCUUGAUUAAGUUAUUUUUCUUCAAUAUUCUACGUAUUUGUAGAAUAUCCUAUAAACUUUUCUCUUGCAAGUACCAUGUCAAGAGAAGAGAUUUCAUGAGAAUAUUUAUUUAAUCUCUAAACGAUGAAGGAUUAGCCUCCUUUGGAUACAUCCAUACCCUUUUAUAUACAGUUGUUCAGCUAGUCGAAAUUGCCUCUUACGCUUCAGAUAAAAGUAAACACAAAUUAAAUAAACACUAUAAUAAUAACAAUAAUAAAACACAUAUACAAAUCCUUACCCUACAUAUCAACUCCUUCACUGAAAUUAUUUUUGUAUUUCUUAUAUAUAUCACAUUUAAAUUUGUACUCACAGUAUCAAUCAAUGUGCUUUUACGUAAAGCGCACGGUGCACAUAACACAGAAUCAUUAUUGCAUGCAUUUGCUCCCGAAAAUUAAUGUGAUGAUUAAAUUCAGAACACAACACCCACAUCUAGAUUCUUACACCAUAGCCUUGGGGUUUCACAAAUUCCCAGAACAAUAUAUUUAUAGCAAAAUUCAAAACAAUAAUCAAAUAAAAAGACGGAUCCAAUGAACACAAUAAACAAUCUUCAAUAUUGGAUCAUACUGUUUCCUAACCAAACACAUCCCCUUACCCCAACAAGAAAGCGAAAAUUGGGAAAACGAGCCCACAUGAUUCUUUAACCGUCUGUUCCCCAACCCAGUUGCUGCACUAAGACAAAAAUUAGGGACACAAGAUCUACUGAGGAAGCACAACAAAUCUAAAGUUCAUCGAACAAAAAUAUGGUGUCUGGCCUUUGUUUCUGUGUUGUCUGUUGUUGAUUUCUUGUAUUAUAUUUGUUGAAGUUACAUUUAUUUGACACUUGUAAUUCUUUCCAUUUUCAUCCGCAGUUUGUUCUUGCUGAUACAAUGAACCACUUUGUUCUUUCUUAAUGGAACGAAAUAAUCUUUCAUCCUCACGAGCAACAUUUUGUACGAAUGGAAAAGCAUUUAGAACAUGACACAUGAGUUUGACGUUAGAAAUAUUUUUUAGAUGGAAAAUUUCGUCUAAUGUUCUGCUAAUGCAUUGCCGUGUUUAUGACUUUAUACUUUUGCUUAAUUUUUAUUUUAGUUGUUACGAUUUAUAGAUAUAUACCAAUCUAGAAUCCGUUGAAAAUUUUAUUAAAUAUAUACACUCCGAGUAUAAUUUUGAAAUAUACGUUAAAUUGAAGGUGAGAUUUUUUAUCCGAACAUGUAGGGAGAUGUAUCUAUUUUUGGGAGAGACUACAAAAAUAGAUAAUGUUUAUAGCAAUUGCUAAGCUACUGCGGAUGUAACUUUAUGAAAACAAUAUUGAUAGAGCCACAACUAUAUUGUACAAAUAAGUGUGUACAAACUGACGUGGCAUGAGAAGAUUGGUUAUAUAAAAUCAUCAUGGUUUUACAAUAGAGUAAUGAUAUAGUCACAAAUUCUUGUACAAACUGAUGUGGCAUGAUAAGGUUGGUUGAAUUAAAUAUCACUUGGCCCACAUAAUUUUAUAUUUUCAUUUUGAAUUAAAUAUCACUUGGCCCACAUAAUUUAUUUUUAUUAUUUUAUAUUUUCAUUCAACCAAUGAAUUAAUGUCACGUCAUUUUGUACAAAAUAAAUUUAUACAAGAAUUUGUGUUUGUAUCAUUACUCUUUACAAUAAUUAAAAAAGUAAUUGUUAUCACUUUUCGGCCCUGUUUGGGAUUACUUUUGGGAGAGUUAAAAGUGAUUUUAAAAAUCUAAAAGUUAAUUUUAGUGUUUGGUAAAAAAAAACCAAAAUUACUUUUGCCAGAAUCAGCUCCUCCUACAGCUGAUUUUGAAAAGUAGAGAAUGAGUAACUUUUAGAUUCUGAUUUUGAGAAUCAAUUUUAUCAUUUAAUAUAAGUACAUAAAUAUCCUUACAAUUAUUACUUAAACCCGAAAUUAUCCUUAUUUAAAUUAGAAAUAAAAUUAAUAUUUUAAUAAUUUUUUAUUAUAAUUAACACACACCUUUCGUUUACCCUAUUUCUUCAUAUUUUGUGUUCUAUCAAAACUUCUCUAAUGCAACAAAGCAAGAUCCAGUACGUGUUCCAUCACCAUAUUCAAUAACAGUAAGUGAUUCAUCACCCUUUUCAUGCAUAUUCAAUGUAAUUUUUAUUAUAAUACAUGUACAUUUUUAUAUGUAUAAGUAAAUUUCAUCCUACAUUAUGUACAUUUUAGUCAUUUAUUUUCUUAUAGCAGUUUAACAAUAAGAUUUACCAAACACCCAUAAUUACUUUCAAAAUUCACAAUACUUUUGAAAAUAAAAUUUACCAAACACUUAACUGAUUCUCUUCACACCUGAUUAUUUGUACAGCACAACUAACAACAAUUAUUUUAAAAGCUGCAGUAUUACCAAACUCGCCCUUCAUCCAAUCUCUUCAUGCUGCAUAGUUUAUAUAUACUAAUUCGUACAAAACAGCUUGUGGCCUUAUCAUUAUUGUUAUGAAAAUAAUGCAAAAAAAUAAUAAUAAGUUAUGGGGCUGGCAUGUGUUUUAUUGAGGACUGUAACUUACAUAAGCAGUAACUUUGCAAGACCCCAUAUUUAUAUCAUUUACAAGGAACUCCAAAAUUAUGCCGUCUGCUCACUAGAUCAUCUGUCCCCUAGAUUUGCUUUUUCUUUUUUCCCCCCCUGAAAGUUCUCUGUAUUUAUUAAUUUAUUUGCAAUUUUACUGUUCGAAAUAGAGGGUAGUCUUGUUCCGGGGCAAUAAGGGGGACCAGGGCGUACAGUGGAGGCUUCACUGAGUGAGGUGGGAUUUGGCAUUUGCUGCCAAUGAAUAAAUACGAUGUUGCCUUGGAAAUUUUGCUUUGCUUGCUGAGUCUUCAAACUCAUUAAUGACUCCCAGCAGUCGUUUUCUCUUUUGAAAAUUUGAAACUUCAGAUUUUUCAAUCUCAAAUUUAUUAGUUUUCUUUCCUUCUUUUAUUGUCCUGUCCCCGACACCCCCUUAUCUCUCUAACACUGCAUAUAACUAAUCACUAUCAGUCUUUAUUGUAAUAAGAUAAAUUUUAUAUCUCUAGAAACAUCUUCAAGUCACACGUUUCUUAAUCUGAUGCGAGCGAUAUUAAUUUCAAACCAAAAUUCUGUUCUGGGUAUUUUAGAUAUGAAUUUAAUUGCAUGCUGAUUGCUGAUUUAUGAUACAUUAUUGUAUAUCAACCAGCAGUCGCAAUUGUAUAUUUUUGUGAACAAAAAGAAAAAAAAAUAGAUCAGGCUAUAAUUCAAAUCAAUAAAACUUAAUUACAGAAGCCUCAGGUUUUAUUAUUUGGGCUAAUUAAAAGUAUAAUAAUAACUGAGAGCGUUCAUGUGGUAAGGGAACUUUAUAGCAACUUCCAGGGUGUAACGGGGAGGCAAAUUGAAUAUUGAAAGUGGACGAUAAUAGGAUUGGUGGGCAGAGGGAGACUCAAAGACCAGAGAGAGCAUCUGCUUCUGUUUAUCUAUGACUGUGAAAGUGCUUUUUUAAUUCUUUUUUUCUCUCACUUUUGAAAUCAAAUUAAGACUUUAAACAAAAACUAACACAAUGCUUUCUUACCAUUCAAAAGUGCUUUUUCAAAAGCAAAAUGUUUGCCAGAAGAAUAGUGUUUUACUCUGAGAUCAUCAUAUGCUUGGUCAUUUACUUGCAGUCUUGAAGACUUGAACAAAAAGAAAAAGGUUUAAUUAAAGAAGCUUUGGCACAACUUUCACAGCUCUUUCUUAAAAAUAAAACCUGCUGGACUUUAGUAAGAAGCUCUCUUACUAGUUAGUUAAAUGUUAUUACAAGUAAUAACAAACCGAUCCUUGUAUUUUUCAUUUUUUGUCAGUUCUUUUUUCCUGCUCAUUUUGUAUCUAAAUAGGUCCCGUCCCAGUUCCCAGUUCCCAGUUCCAUCUCUUGAAAUGAACAAAUUAGCUUAUAAUAUUGAAAUCUUGACAAAUGCAUUGCAAGAGUAUGUAGACUGUCACCUAACUUAAAAGGGUUUUGCAACAACUUCAGAAUGAGUCAGGGAGCUAUAUAAUGCGAAUGAAAAAAAUUGUGUUCUGAAAAGAGAAAUCAUUAAAAGUUAGGGGCUUUUUGAUGUUAUUAACCAAUGUGUUUAUUAUCCACUUGAAAAAUGUGAUUGGAUCACUGAUCUCUUGAGUCUUUUUUUUUUUUAACUUUUUUCCCCCCUCCUCAAGAAAGACUAUUUAGUCUUCGCCUGGCGAAAAAGAGGUUUGGGGAACAACCACUCUACUUGGACAGAAAGGAAAAUUAGUUGGCUUUGGUUUUGAAGCCAAGGUAGCAAGUUUCUUUGAUGAAAUGAUGUGAUCAAUAGGCAAAAUGUUUUUUUUUUUUUUUCUUUCCUGAGAAAAAGCCAAUUUUAGCCCUCUCAGUCACAGACCAAGACCGAACCCAAAACCCUUCGAGAAAGUGAAUGGAAAGAGAAAAUAGAUUGCAAUCCUGUGAAGUCAUUUCAUUUCAGUUUCAGAAUCUGAAAUGAUAUCACACAUCUGAUAUGAUGAUCCGAACGGCUAGCUCGUACCCUUUCAAAGGUGACAUCAUUAUGAAUUGCGGAACUCAAUUUAGAAUAGUUAAAAGAAGAACCAAAGAUCCCGUAUCAGAAUUCCUUUCAAAUUUUUCAUAAUGACCCAUCAUCAAUAUACACAAGACAAUAACAAGUAACAACAACAGCAGCGACAAACAAGUGAUUCUAUUUCACUCAAUAUAUAGCCAUCAUCAUAACCAACCAAACGUGACCAGUAACAACAACACAACAACCCUACGCUAGCUUUUCUCUGUUUUCUUUUACAACAACAAAUUACGAAGCUGUCCUGUGCAACAAUGUUCCUUUUCCUGUCUAUAGAUUUCAAUUUCAUUGACAAACAGUUUCUUCUAUUUUUAUUUUCCCGCUUAAAUUCUUUCUUCAUUGGAUUUUCUUGCUGAUAUGAACUCUGAAGAUGAUGAAUCGCUGCUGAAUCUUGAAAACAGAGAUGAAUCUGGAAACAAAUGAAAGACAAAUGUCAACCUUGUUGAGCUAAACUACGAUAACAAAUAUAUUCAAAAUUUCGAGGCUAAUCUAUAUGCAGAAACAUGUAUAUAUACCUCUAGAAAACAAACUGCUGAAAGUCUCUUGCGAAGAACAACUUGUAGAUCUUGAUAAUGAAGAAGAAUCUGAUACAAAAAAUACAGAAAAUUGAAUCAAGACAAUUCAAGUUAACAACCCAAUUAACAAAAAAAUAAAUUAACUUGGUUAAACAUGCAACGAUUUAAUAAAAGAAAAGGAUUUGCUACCUCUAGAGUUGAAAGAGUUUUUGCAAUGAAGAAUGGCGCUUUGAAUCCCAUCAUGCUGAAGAAGCAACGAAUCAUCUCUUCUAGCCGGCGACAUAACUGCAGCAGCCGAAACCGAUUUGCUCUUGCUCAGAUGCUUAAACCCCGCCGGAAUAUUCCCUUUCUUCUCUUUCUUCGCCGGAGAUGCUGUCGGAGAAGAGGAAGAAGCCUCCGUUAGCUCCUCAGGAAACCCCGUCUUGCCAUUCUUCUUGGAAACUCUGACAUACAAUGGCUUGAUCAGCUUCAAGUAUUUCUGUAUCACAUCCUUUGAAAAUCUCUUUGAUGAUGAUGAUGAGGAGGAGGAGGAUGAGUCAGUAUGGAUGCUUUCUUUGUGUUUUGUUUUUCUCAGACUUGAAGCUCUAGUGAACAUUGAAAGAUUUGAAGCAUCUUCAACUCUGAACUUGAUUGUGAAGAGCUUGUUCUGUUUUCUUGUUGACUCUGUUUUCUCCAUUACCCCCGUUUUCUCUGUUUUGAGUGUUGCCAUAGAUUUGGGUUUCUUGAAUAUAGCCACCCGAAGCUUUGGAGCAGAUUUAAGCAGGGAGAUUGGAGACUGGGCUUUUAAACUUGAGCUUGAGCUGGGCUCGAUUGGCAAGAUCUUUCUUUUGGACAAGACAUCGGUGGGAGACAAAGAGGAAAGCGUCGCGGUCACUGUCUGUUGUUGGCUCUCUUUGCUGUUGGUGUUCUUUUUGUUGUCGCAAUCAGAAACAGUGAGCUCCAACUCAAAGAAUGAGUCAUCCCCUUCAUCCAACUCGCUCUCCGAACAAACCACAAGACUGGGAGCAGCUUCAACUUCCAUGGCGGUGGCGGCGGCGGUGGUGGUGUCAUUAUCUUCAUUAAGGGCUUGAUUUUCUUUCAUGGUGGGUCUCCAAAACUUGAGAAAGCUGAGAGUUUCCAUUGCGUCUGUUGAAGCUCGAAAGAGAGAAAAAGAGAGACUAAAUAGAAAUGGCUUCGGUUUCUUUUCCGGAAUAUUUUGGUGGGCUUUUAUAUUUGGUUUGAGAGAAAGAGAAAGAAAAAGAGUGAGGUUUUUGAGAAAUUUAAAGGGACAAAAAAGAAAGAAAGUACUUUUGCACUGCGUUUUAUGGUUGCGUAUUGCAGAACUGAAAAUGGUGUUUUCCAGGGGCUGCCGAGAGCCUGAUGAUGAAAUAUAAGCAGCUUUCUUUUUCUUAGGGAGCAAAUAUCAUUGGUAUCCCUCAAACUUUUUAUAAUAGCAAUUUGAACUCCACUGGAAUUUAGUGUUAUACAAAUAAUCCCUCCAACUUUUUGCACUGCGUUUUUUUGGCACUAACAAUGAGGACUAAAAGUUCAUAUUUUUGAAUUAAUGGAACUGGAACUGUUAUUAUGAAAGAGUAGGGGGUGUUGUUGUUUAGAUACUAAAAAGUAAAAAAGUAAUACGCCUGAUUAAAUUUGUACCCAGAGUUUGUUUUGUACGUUUGGUUUAGUCGUUGUAGUUUAGUUGGUCACAGACUGAACACGUGAAUAUCAAUGCAUUACACAUUUUUUACUUUUUUUUCUUUUUAUUUUUUUGAUUUGUGAGAGAGAGAGAGAGAGAGAGAGAGUCAGAUCAGAAUUCAAAGAAGAAAUAGGAGGAGAGGAGUGUGGCGUAUAGUCUAUAAAGCUGAGUCUCUCACUUAGACUACGUAUCCACACCCACCUUACGGAACGGAAGCCAGAGGGGGGCAGAGCUCUUCCUUCAGUCUUGUCUCAAUUGUGUAUUAUUAGACCCACGCGCACUUGUUUCUAUUUCUUUCAACACAUUUACGACCUUCAUUAUUAUUUUUUCUCAUCCUCCCAAUUAAAAAAAAUAAGAAACGCUCCCGAGGACGACAUUGUUCGCAUUAUAUUGAGUGAUAAUAUCAGCGAAUGACAUUAUUUCUGUUAUAUUGAGUGAUAUUGUCAAUUACUCAAUCACUUUGGUAUGGCGGUAGAUCGAGUUUGGUGAGUAUUGUUAUUCUUGAGAUCAACUUAAAAAAUAAAAAUAUGAAUACAAGUAAGAUAUUAAAAAUUUAAGUUAUCUAUAAUUAUAUGAGGUGGGAACGACUAAAGAUUGUCAUCUAUGAGUCUGAUUUAAAAAUAAUCUCAUCCUGAUUGAUUUUAAGGAUAAAAAUAAACCGUUCCUAUCUUCGAACUAGUCAUUGUCUUAUUAAUUGAUCUUUUGUUAACAAUUUACUGAAUUUGCUUAAUAAAUUAAUGGAACACGUCGCGAAAUGGAAGACAAAGUGAAGUACUUCUAAGUUCUAAAUAUUUUUAAGAGUUAAACAUAAGGAUUAAUGAGAACAUAAUGUGAGACACGUUAUGGAAUAUGAAAAUGCGAAUAUGAAAAUGCCAAAGUUUUCAUUUAACAAAGUUAUCGUCAAUUAUAUUGUUAUAUUAUUUUAUCUUUGAGUUCCCAUAGUCAUUGCACUAAUCAUUUAUAGACAAAAACCGAUUUUGACUUUUGUAGUGCAACGAUCAACAAUGUAACAAGUUAAGCAAACUCAUUAGGUCCUCUUUACUGUCUGCCAAAGAUGUCCAAACCAAAAUUAGAAUUUAGAAAGGAAAAAAAAAACAGAAUUGAGAAUCAAUUUAUUUUUUGGGAGCGCGUGAGAGGUGAGUUUUGGAAUCUAAAAUGAUAUCAAGUUAUGAAGUAUUUUUGGUGUAAAUGCAAAAGCCAUGAGAGGAGAGUGAUGAGAAACUUCCAAAAAGAGGUGAAAAAAAGAAAAACAAAAGAGAAAAAGGCCAAAAAGAAAAAGACUCAAAAAAAAAAGAAAAAGAGAGAGAGAGAGAGAGAGGAGACGCAAGGUAAGGUAAGGUCAUGUUAAUAAUAAUAAUAGAAACAGAGGGCACUUUUACUUUAUGGGCACAGUCUUAAAAAGAUCUGCUUAGCUCAGAAUAAAUUGGUUCUCUAACAAAGGCAAGAAAUUGGGGCAAUUGGCUUCACGCAUGACCCUAUGAGCUAUGAACCCUACUUUUUAAGGGCUUUAACUUCUUUAAAUUCUAGUAAAGAAGGACCGAGUCUCCCAUGCUGUUAAAAGGUUUGACUUGUAGCUGUGACUUGUGGAGUGAUUUUUUAUUUUUAUUUUAAAUUUUAAAUUUUUUUUUGUUUGUUGCCCCCUUUUGUUUCUUUUUCAAAAUGGUCCAAUUUUUGGGUAAGGGAAAGAAAGAUAAAUAGAAAGAUUCUAGCCCCGUUGCAUCAAAGGGCUAAGGUAGAAAAAAGAUUUUAAAAAAGGAGAUUCUUGUGGCUAUAUUUGAGUUUUAAUAAGAAAGAGGAAAAUUGGAUAGUGAUGAGUGAUGUUGAUAAUAAUUCUGGUUGUUGGUGGUUUUAGUUUUAAGAGAGAUUUAAAUAAAGUGGGCAUACAAAUUAUUUUUUGCGCCCACCCACGUAUAUAUACAUUUAUGUUAAAAGGGACCAAUGAUUGUGCAAUUAAAAUGUGUGAUUUCUAUUGAAUGUAUCUCGUCAAAAUUUCAAACGCAAGAUUUUAUUAUUUUAGUCACUUGUUUUGAUUUGGAGAAAACUACCAAGACCCCUUAUUUUUUUCCAAAAUUUGUACUAUCCACCCCAACUGUUUCAAAACAUACCAAAAACACCUGUGUCAAGGGGGAUUUUGGUAAGUGCUGAAACAAUAGAGUGAGAAGACAAAUUUUGAAGGAAUACAUAUAAAGGGGCUUGCUAGUUUUUCCUUUUGGUUUAUCUAUUGAAUCUUGAUAUGUGUAUGAUUCUAAAUUUCAUCAAGGCUUGUGCAAGCCAUGUAAAUAUGUAAUGAUGAUUUCACUUUGAUUUCAACGAAAUCUAAUUGGUCUCUUUCUUUUUUGUUUGCUUUUUCAAGAAUUAUUGUGAGAAUAAUCCAAAUGUCAUGCAAUUUUCUCUCUAGUUUUUCAUGUUUAUGGUGUGCACGUCGUUAAUCUUUAUGUAUUAUGCGCUCGUUCCUUCGCUUUUGUAUGAAUUUUUAGAUUAAUUAAUAGAAUUGAACCUAAAGAAAAAAAGAAAAAAGAAAACCAAGAAACUUGAACUGACCCAUCCAAUAAUAUAUAACGAUAUUCACAAUGAUGAUGUAUAUUACCGACAUUUAUUUUUGCACCUAUUGAAACUUUUCUAUUUAGACCGGCAACUUUGCAACAUCUUAUCUUAUUCUUAUCCCUCGACUUUGGAAUUAGAUACCAAUUUAAUUAAAGAACAAUUUUCUACUUUUCAUUUUUUUAAAUCAUGGAAGAAUGAUAAUUUUGUUCUUAUUUUUAUUUAUUGCUGUAUUUUUUCCCCUAAAAUCUUCACCCUUACAUUUAUUUCAUGCCACGUUAAUGUAUAUGAAUGGGUUAUAUAAAUAAUAUGUGUAUAUAAAUAAUAAAUGUAUGCAAUAUUUUUUUCCCCUAAAAAAUGAAUAAAACUCGUUGAUCAACUUAAAUUGAUACAAUUUGAAUUUAAAAAGAUACCAAUAUGACUUUGAAUUUAUAUACACAUAUAUUUACACGAAUGACACAAGUCUUAUACUUAAUAAUUUUUCAAUCAGAAAUUCUUGGUCAUUUUAAAAUAAAGGAUAACCUAAAGAAUGAAGAACCACAAACUUCGUAUUAUAUUAUAGUGUAUUGAAACCUAUAUACACUUUUUUUUAAAAAAAUCUAUAUACUUUAUCCUAACUUUAACACUUUUUAAUAUUGCUUGGGACCGUGGCAUUCAUUAUUUAAUUGCAGAGGUGGAUAGCCAAUGUGU